UUUAUUCAAAAACAAAUCAAAAUCCCAAAUCUAUGCAAGGUUCUUCUGUCCCACCUCAUUCAAACAAGGCAAGCCCACACGUGGAUGAACAAGUUAAAACUCCUGUCACUUUCAUUUGCAGCGCUGAUAGCUGUUGUUGCUACUACCGUUGGAAUUUCAAAAUUCAAUUUCUCCUUCUCUUUCAAUAUCUACAAACUUUCUUACUCAUCUCUCUCCAUCUUUUCUUGAUUUCUUCAAACUGAAAGGGUCAAGCUUCCUCUCUACACACAAAUUUGAGAGAUUCCUUCGUUUCUCCAUCACUUUUGACAAACCCAGCGGCGAGAAAAUUGUGAAGUAAGGUAUGCACUUCAGAUCCAUUUUCGUUUUUAUUUACAGAUUCAUUUUUUUUUCGAAUUCCAGAUCUAUUAUAUUUUUGUUCUUUCAAUUUACAGGGAUGCUGUUCUUCAAUCUUCAUUCCUCACGUUGUUUCUUUUCUUCUUCACGUGCAAAUCAGAGAUUGCUGCUAAUGAAUUUAAGUGAAAGGUAUGUCAUUUAACAGUAUCAUCUUUAGUUUGAUGAAUUUGGAGGUAACUGUUCGCUCCCCCUAUUUUUUUUUAUUUUUUUUUUGUUCUUGCCUUGGAUUUCAUGAUUUGUUGUUAUUAUUAUUAUUAUUAUUAUUAUUAUUAUUAUUAUUAUUAUUAUUAUUAUUAUUUAUUUAUGUUUUGGCUUUGGAUUUCAUGACUAAUUAAAUGCAUGUUCAAAUUGGGAUUUGUUCUUUCAUGUAUCUAAAGGCACGGGUUUCUGCAAUUUUCACAUUGACCUUGCAGCAAAGUUUGUAGUUACUGGCUUUCUCUGUUUUUUUUUUUUUAAGGUAAAUAAGUUUUGAUUGUUGGAUAACCUUGGUUCCUAAUUUUUCUCAAUCAGUAACAACCUCUUUUUAAUUUGAUUUAAAAUUAGCAACUAAUAUAAAAUAUCCUGUCAAUGAGNNNNNNNNNNNNNNNNNNNNNNNNNNNNNNNNNNNNNNNNNNNNNNNNNNNNNNNNNNNNNNNNNNNNNNNNNNNNNNNNNNNNNNNNNNNNNNNNNNNNNNNNNNNNNNNNNNNNNNNNNNNNNNNNNNNNNNNNNNNNNNNNNNNNNNNNNNNNNNNNNNNNNNNNNNNNNNNNNNNNNNNNNNNNNNNNNNNNNNNNNNNNNNNNNNNNNNNNNNNNNNNNNNNNNNNNNNNNNNNNNNNNNNNNNNNNNNNNNNNNNNNNNNNNNNNNNNNNNNNNNNNNNNNNNNNNNNNNNNNNNNNNNNNNNNNNNNNNNNNNNNNNNNNNNNNNNNNNNNNNNNNNNNNNNNNNNNNNNNNNNNNNNNNNNNNNNNNNNNNNNNNNNNNNNNNNNNNNNNNNNNNNNNNNNNNNNNNNNNNNNNNNNNNNNNNNNNNNNNNNNNNNNNNNNNNNNNNNNNNNNNNNNNNNNNNNNNNNNNNNNNNNNNNNNNNNNNNNNNNNNNNNNNNNNNNNNNNNNNNNNNNNNNNNNNNNNNNNNNNNNNNNNNNNNNNNNNNNNNNNNNNNNNNNNNNNNNNNNNNNNNNNNNNNNNNNNNNNNNNNNNNNNNNNNNNNNNNNNNNNNNNNNNNNNNNNNNNNNNNNNNNNNNNNNNNNNNAUUAUAAGGUAGUACUAUUUUUCUUUGGUGGAUGUCAAUUUUAUUUGGGUUUACUAAAAUACAUAAUAUCAAAUCUUAGUGCAUAAACAAAUUCUUGCCCGUGCGUCGCACGGGUGGGAAAUCUAGUAGAUGGACAAACAAGAAGUAUCUACACAGAAUGAAAAAUUACCAGCACUGCAUGAGGUUGGAGGAUCUUUCUGAAGGUCCUCGAGUUCCUUCAGGAUCCGCUUGGAGCUAAUAUUUUCACUUAUCUCUUUUGAUUCUCUCAUAUUUUUGUCACCAAUUCCGAUUCUUUGUUCAUCGUAAAGAAAAUCAGUUUUAUAAUUAAUUUUCUAAGAAACUAUACUUAAAUAGCGUUUUAUCUCAAAUAACUUUUAGAUUUUUUGCUUUGAAAAUUGGCAAUAAAUAGAUAAAAAAGCGUUUAUUUAGCAUUUUUUCUAUUUUAUUAAUAGACUAAUUUCAAGUUAAAAAAGAAGAAAAAGAGAGAGACUAGUUUCAAGUAACUGACUGUGUGAAAUUAUGUCUAGCACUAACACACACACACUAGAAACCAGAUACAACAUAUUUAUCAAUUGUCAAGAAGAUAUGUCAUAUAACAAGAUCUAAUAUCCUGCUCUUCCCAACCUGACCUUAAGGUAGUCUUGUCUUGGGCCCUAAGUUCUAAUUCUACCAUAUAAUUUCAAAGUAGAAUCAUAUAUUACACCUUAAAAAGGUAACAUACCUUAUUUAAUUUUCCACUAGAUUAUUUCCAUUUUCAAUUUUAUCAUCAUAGUUAAUUAUAAUAAGGUGGAAGAGGAAGGACAACUCUCUUCCUUCACAAAUCCAACAUGCUCAUUGCUCACCCACCACACCACAUUUAUGUUUUUGCACUGAAACCAAAUGAAGAACUAUAUAAAUUUUAAUCUAUGGAAAAAUAAAACAGCAAAAAAACUACGUCCUCAAUAAUGGAAACAUGCAUGGAGACUCUCUCAUUGUCUAGAGUGAUUGAGUACGACUACUAAUUUUAUAUAUAUACACUACCUAUUAACUAUGUACAUCCUAAAUUCCCAAUACACAAACCAAUCGUUAAUUGGUUCAGUGGUGAUUAUCAUUGAGCGAAGACCACAGUUUGAUUCCCGCAACUGCGAUCAGAGGAGGCUGGAACCACUUAAUGCGAGAACUAACCCCAAACCAUAUUAAAUAGUCUAGUGGGUCCGAUACUGAUAGUGAAAACAAAAAAAUCGCAAUACACAUUUGGGAGAACCAAGUAGCAAGUUGAUCCAAUAUGUCUUCACCUUUUGCACAAUGAAAUGAACAUCAAUCCAAUAAAUAUAUCCCCAACUCACUCUAUUUUUUUUUUAAACCAAAGGUAUUCUUCGCACGCAACUGCAGAGACUAAUCACUCCAGGUAAUUGAGAUCCAUUUAAGGGGUUGACAUCUCCCAACAACUCACUCUAUUUUGAUCCUGUAAUCAAACAAAAACAAAUCAGAAACAUGCCAUAAUAAUUUAGAAAUGAGAGAGAAUAGUUAAUUACAGUGUUAAUUACCAUUUGAAGAUAAUGAAAGAACAAUGAGGCAUGUCACCAUUUUGAAUUUGUUUCAAAGUAACAUCACCACAAACAACAGUAACAUCAAUCAUCAUCGAUUUCCAACCUUGUACUAUCACAUUCGUUUUGGUUUUCACCUCCACACUCGGCGUCAAAGCUUUACUAUCAAACACACUUUUCAACCUUCUUCUCUGUUUUGCAUCCAAUACUUCUUCUCCCCUAACCUUCGUCUCCGCCUUCAACGCCGUCAUAUUCAUCACAUUCACAUCAAAUGCAGCCACCUUCGUCGACCCUAAAUUCAACUCUCCAUUUUCCGCCCAUAUCUGAACAUUACUCUGUUCAAAAUGCCACACCAUUUUGGUAUUACGGUUCUUCACUUCCACCACUGUUACUGUGUCUGCGUCGAGAUAAGAAACGUCCGGGGUUCCGGUUAUGUUGAAAUUUGGAACACGGAAGGAACCGAGGUGAAACUCCGGGGGAGAAGGUUGAUAGAUGAAGUAGAUGAGUGUGGCAGCGACGAUGAAGAUGAAAAUGAGGAUGAAGAGAAUGAUGCAGAAUGUGCAACAACAUAUGUGACAACAGUCAUGUUUCCUGGGUUUUGGUCGGAAGGAAGGUGGGAGAGGUGGUUUUCGAGGCGGAUGCGGUUGUUUUAUUGUUAUUGUUUGUUGUUCCGGCGUGUUUGAGUCUUUGUAACCGGGUGGUUUUUGUAGUUUUUGUUGCAUUGUGAUUUAUGUAUGUAUGGGGUUAAUAAUAUUAAUAACAAGGAUUUAUGGAAAAAAAAAUUAAUUAUGAGAUAAUUGAUAUUAAAUGAUGUUGUUAUGGAGAAGAAUGAAAAUGUAGGGCAUUGUUGGAUUGGGAAUGUGAAUGAUGAUGGUGGAGACAUGGAAGAAUCAUCUCAUAAAUCUUGGAGAAGUAAAAAAAAAAAAAAUGAAGGUUAUUUUGUUGUUGCUUGAGGUUGGGAGGGUUAAGAGAAGAGAGAAUGGAACGUACAAAGUCUUUGGUCACACGAGAGGAUGAAGAGGAGUCGGAAGAGGACAAAAUUGUUGUGCCACAUAGAUACAAAAUGCAAAAACUAAAUAAAUAAAUAUCAUCUUCCUACGUUAAGUUUAUUAGGAGAUAAGCGAAUUUGGUCACUCAUAUUCUUGCUAGGGCGGCCAAUAUUUGGGCUAGUAGUUUCCAUAGAUUUGAGAUUAUUCCCUUAUGUAUUGAACAUUUAUUAGUUAAUGAUAUGAAUUAAGUUUGUUUGGCUAAAAAAUAAAUAAAUUUGUAUCUAUCCACACUUAUAUAAUGUGCCCAAUAUAUAUAAAUCUUCUCACCAUGAAUAAACUUAUUGAAUUAAUAUGUUUUCUUACAUUUCAUUUGAAUUUGAUUCAAUCGUUAAAUCGAUUAAUUCAAUGAAAACAAGUUUGUAUACGGUGUAAGAUUUGUUUCAUUUGUGCAUUAUAAAUUGACAUUUUAUUACAAGUGGAUUAUAUGUUAAUGCAAUAAUUAGUAAAUUAGAACCAUUUUAUCGCUUUUGGACGACCGAGAUUGCUUACUGUAUAUAUGAGAAAAAUUUGAGAAAAACACAGUUCGCUAUCUAAGUAGCAAACCUUAAAAAAAUCAUUUUUUUUUGUCCCAUUCACCCUUCCCUCACCUCUCAUAAUUUUUUUUGAAUGAAAUACAGUUCACAAGUUAAACUGCGAACUCUUCUUUCACCCCCCAAAGAAAAAUAUUUUGAAUGAAACUUGCAUGAGAAAGUAAUUAAAAAAUGAAAAAAGAGGUUUCAAUUUAUAGAAUUAUACGUUGUGCAUGUGUAUGAUUGAUUGAUAUUUGAUACUAUGUCACAACCGCUUCAGUUACCAAAUUUUUAUAAAGUUCACUAAUUAAAGUGCAAACCAAGUUCGCACUCUAAGUAGCGAAUUGUGUUUUUUCAUAAUAUUUUCAUUCAUAGGGGGCGUGAACGGUGCAGACGUGGGGUUGAGUUGAAAAAAUUUUCACCACUCGCUACGCAAAGUGCAAACUGAGUUAGUAAUUUGGAUAGCAAGAAGUAUUUAGGUAGUUAUACAAGAUGUUUUCUCUCCCGACCCCCCUCAUUUCUUUUCUACCCCCAAAAAUCCAAUUUUGCCCCUUGCGGUUCCAAACAUUUUUGCCAAAAAACUUCGGUUCGUAUUCACCGAAGCCAAAUAUUAGACCAUUUCGGUAACUGCAAACCGAACAUUAGCGUUUUCGGUACACAAAAANNNNNNNNNNNNNNNNNNNNNNNNNNNNNNNNNNNNNNNNNNNNNNNNNNNNNNNNNNNNNNNNNNNNNNNNNNNNNNNNNNNNNNNNNNNNNNNNNNNNNNNNNNNNNNNNNNNNNNNNNNNNNNNNNNNNNNNNNNNNNNNNNNNNNNNNNNNNNNNNNNNNNNNNNNNNNNNNNNNNNNNNNNNNNNNNNNNNNNNNNNNNNNNNNNNNNNNNNNNNNNNNNNNNNNNNNNNNNNNNNNNNNNNNNNNNNNNNNNNNNNNNNNNNNNNNNNNNNNNNNNNNNNNNNNNNNNNNNNNNNNNNNNNNNNNNNNNNNNNNNNNNNNNNNNNNNNNNNNNNNNNNNNNNNNNNNNNNNNNNNNNNNNNNNNNNNNNNNNNNNNNNNNNNNNNNNNNNNNNNNNNNNNNNNNNNACCCAGCAAAAGUGACCUAACAACAAAAAAAAAAGUUCCACUUCUUCUCCUUCAUCGGUAACUAACACAACACGUUCUCACUUCUCAGUCCCUUUACCGUCAUUCCGUUGAAGAACCUUCUCCAUCCCACGCAGGUCCAGCCACCGCGCCGCCGCCGGUGACAACCGCUUCCACCGCCCUUCCCUCUCACAGUAACCUUCUCCUCUCUCUCUCUCUCUCUGAAACAACGUCUUACUGUUUAUUAUCCUUAGCAAUUCAUAGUAUAUCAGUAGAGUUCUUCACUUGCAGCUAUCUUUCUUGAAUAUGUAUAUAUAUAUAUAUGUGCUUCAAUUCAAAACCAAGAAAUUAAAUAACACUAGAGAAAUUCAAUGUAGAAGAAAUUGAAAGCCAAAAAAUUAACUAGUUGUAUCACUGUAGAGAAGACAAACCCUAAUGAAAGGAUUCAAGUUCUUUUAAGUUUAAAUUCAAUUAACAGUAAAGACAAUAAGGCUCAGUAUCAAUUGAUUAUUUAAGUUUAUCUACUAGCAUAAACAUCUUAUUUCCACAAGCUAUCCGGGAUAGCUUAUGAAAACAACGUAUAGCUUGUAUGAAAAUAAUUUAACUUAUUUUUAUAGAAAUAACUUAUACGUAAGCACUUAUGCAGCUAUUAGCGCUUAGUGAAGUUACUUAUCCAAAUGGGAUAGCUUAUGAAAACAACUUAUAGCUUAUAUGAAAAUUGAUUUGGUCUAGAUUAUGCAAAAUCUCACUGUUGUGGAAUGAUAAUUGGGAUUUUGGAAGGUUUUAUUAAUGUUCCUUUUUUUCUUUGAAGCAAAGAAAACAGAGUAACGAAAAACAACGUUUCCUGUGCAAAAUAGUUUCAACACCAUAGAUGGAGUACGUUAGCCCAGAAGGACUUCGCUUGGAUGGUCGCCGGCCCAUGGAAGUACGGCUGUCUUCCACCUCGUUUCUCUCCAAUUAAUUUUCUUUUUCUUUUUGAAUUUUGCAUGCGAUUUUUUGUUUUGUUUUUUCUCUUCUGAACUUUACCUUACCAUGUUUUCCCCUCUCUAUGCAAUCCUAGAUGCGACAAAUUCGAGCAGAGAUUGGUUCUGUAUCCAAAGCUGAUGGGUAGAUAUUUUUCAUCUUUUGCCCCUCACUUUCUAAUUUCAAUUUUUUAUUUAUUUAAAUUCAGUAAUAAAUUUAUUUAAAGGCAUUUUCAUUGUGAAACCAGGUCUGCCAUUUUCGAGAUGGGUAAUACCAAAGUGAUUGCUGCUGUUUAUGGCCCUAGAGAGGUACUAUAUAAUCAUUAGACUUGCAUAUGCAUUUGUACUCAUGCAAUUUGAAGAUGGAUAAUUAUCCUUUCUAAGGGAUUAAUCAGCUUUGAUGAUUAGAAAAGUUUUGAAUUUGCAUUUGAGAUUUAGAUGAUGUUGCCGUUUUUUUAGUAACUUCUAUAUAUUUCAGGUUCAAAAUAGGAGCCAGCAAAUAAGUGACCGGGCUCUGGUAUAUUUCUUCUAUUAAGUUAUAGUAAUAUCAUUCAUUGAAUGUACUUUUAGUUUAUUUAUAUGCAUUGUACUGAACAUUUAAUCACUUUUCGUCUGCAUUUAAUCUUUUAGGUUCGAUGUGAAUACAGCAUGGCUAAUUUUAGCACUGGUGAUCGCAUGAGGAAACCAAAGGGAGACAGGUUAUUUCUUAUUUACUCAUUUAGUUUCCCAGUCUUUUGUAUGAUUUUGAUACUUGAUACUUAAUUGAUAUAGUAUUGAUGAACUAAUAGAACUAGAGUGAGCGUAGCGACAACAGAAUCACCCUAGAGAAUAACUUGCGACAUUUCUAUAUUUUUGCAUAAGUAGGAAUUAAACUAUGAAAGAGGUGUGGAACUCAGGAAUAGUACCAUGUUUCAUUCUAUGGAUGCAUUUUUGGUAUGGCAUUGUUGUUAAUUGUUAUAGAGAAAUUUAGAUGCUGGUUUGAUUGAGAGGCUAACUGAAUAGGACAGCAUAUUAAAGGAGGAAAUGGUAGCAGCUUGUUAAUUAUCAAGGUAAAGGCAUAAUGCAUAAUUUGUUCAUGGGUCCAACUCCACAAAACCUCGGUAAACAAAGUGCUGUCUUCCCACCUUGCUUGUAUGAUGGGUUAUGACUUAUGACUGUUUAGCAGCUUAUCUUUCAGAAAAUUUCCAGUUGAGCGGCCCAAUGGCACAAGCUUAGAUGGAAAUAUCAGCAGCAGGCACGACUGAUCAUUGAUUUUUGAGAACCUUACCACCUGGGACGAGCUGAUUUUGAAGGAAGCUUUAGCAGAAACAUGGUGUGGAGAUGAUCAGUGGGAAUACUCACCUUGUGGAUAAGGUGGGUUUUGGAGGAGUGGUAUUGUUAGGAUCUAUCAUUAUAGUUUUUUUUUUUUCUUUUGGGGGGAUUAUCAUUAUAGUUAUUUAGUUAAUAAGAGAAGUUAACUAGUUAGAAGGGGUAUAGAUUAGUUAAAUAAUUAGUUUGCAAGAGAAGUUAAGUAGUUUAAAGGGAUAGUGUGUAUACAUAGGAGAAGUAAGGAUGGGAGAGGGCGUUCAUUGUUUGUUGUAUUGUGAAAGGACAAAGGAAUUUUGUGAAAGGGGAAACCAUUGGAGGAGAGUCCCAUCUCUUGUUCUUAUUCUUUAAAUAAAAUUUCUUCAUUUUUUUUCAUUUCUUUCUAUCAAUUUUCCAUUUCUUUCCCUUUGUUCCUAACAGACUCGGUGCUCAAUGUUUUAAGCAUAAAUAUUCAGUCAUUUUGUUUGUCUUUAAGAGUUUGUUAUAUUGGUUCUUCUUGCAUGGUUCCCUAACCCUUGUAUGAUGGGACAACUCACAAUCUCAUGUUUUUUUACUUCUAUAUUUAAUUGAAGUUUUCUCAUGCUACAGGAGAUCAACUGAAAUUUCUUUGGUUAUUCGACAAACCAUGGAAGCAUGCAUAUUGACGCAUUUAAUGCCCCGUUCCCAGGUUCGAUUACAGUCUUUGGACUUUCUAUUUUAAUCAGUUUAAAUUGUGUAUUUUCUUUUUGCAAUGAUUUGGUUAUUUAAUUUGCAGAUAGAUAUUUAUGUCCAAGUUCUCCAAGCAGAUGGAGGUAAUUCAUGCCUGUUAAUGGGAUGUUGUGACCAUUUUCUCCUCUUGUUGUCAUUUUUCUUGUUCUUGUGCUCAAUUAUAAAACCUUUCUCCUGUUAAUCGUUGGCAAUACUUAAAAUGGGUCUCUGUAUUUCAUAUGACUUUUGUUCGUAACAUGCCUUUCGUAGGAACUAGGUCUGCUUGUAUAAAUGCUGCAACUUUGGCCUUAGCUGAUGCUGGGAUCCCUAUGCGUGAUCUUGUAACUUCCUGUAGUGCUGGAUACCUCAAUAGCACCCCUCUGCUUGGUAUAUAUCUGUUUUACUAAAAAAAUUAACACUGUAACAACUAACAAGGGUGGUUUGUCUUUUUUCUGUAACAAGUGAAAUUUUGAUAUAGCACUGUAUGGUUUGUCAUAAUUAUUGAAAGUUGCGGAUUGAAUAUGGACAGAUUUGAACUAUGUAGAAGAUAGUGCUGGGGGUCCUGAUGUAACUGUAGGAAUUCUACCGAAGUUAGAUAAAGUGACGCUUCUUCAGGUAAUUUUCCGUUUCUUAAAAUGAGUUUGUGUUUGUACCUGGUCCUAGCUUAUGGACUGUGUACCAUCUUGCUUGAAUUUGAAAGUUUGUAAUGUCCAUAGUCCAUACUGCAUGUAUUUUGCCUUUUUUAUAGAGGCCUCGGAUCCUUGAGACCCAUUUCUCUUUCAAUCCUUCCUCUUGCUCUCUGCCAUUGGCAAUUAACACAAUCACAUAAAGACUGUUGCUUUUGAAGCUAUAUUUCCUCUCCCUCCUUCCAAAAUUGUUCUUAUCAUUAGACCUAGGUUAUGGAAAGUUAGAAAUUAUGUUCAUGUUGAAAAAUCAAAGAUUCUGCACCUUUUGUUUACUUUUUUUACUUCCUAGACUUUCAUUUUGGUUUUGAUGAAAAUGAUUUAUAGUGACUUGAACCUUUACUCUCUGGUCAGUGUUGAGACGCAAUUCUUUUGUUUAGUAUCAGUUAAUUCUGGAUCAAGUACAGCUUCAUUUUCCCGCAUGAAAACAUUCUUAAUAUACUUAUUAACACUUGUUUUAGGGAUGCCAGUAAUAUAGUGGCCACUAUUGACUUAAGAAUUUGCACUUGUUAUUAUAAAGGCUGAUUGAGAUUGAGAACUUGAUUAUUUUAACAGAAAUAGAUCACUCUAACAUUUGUUUGUAGAAAGCAAUGCAUUUAUUUUCUUCACCAGUUUCUUUCAUUGGAAUUUUCUGUUUCAUUAGGACCAGUUGCCGUGUUACAUAAUUUAUAAUGGAAAGCUUAUAGUUUAAUUGGACGGCGUUGGGUUAAGUGUGAUUUUUGGAUUACUAGAUUUCAAAUUUUGUUUGCACACUAAUUUCUUGUGUACUUACUGUAGAUGGAUUCUAAACUACCAAUUGACAUUUUGGAAAAUGUCAUGCAACUGGCUACAGAAGGCUGCAAAGCAAUUGCCAACUACAUCCGAGAAGUAAGAACCUGCCUCAUUUAUGUGAUUGAUAUAUAUAGGAAUAAUAACAUGGUUCACAUUCCAUUUCAUUGCUUAAUUCCUAAUUUCUUUGUCGGUUAACAGAUAUUACUUGAGAACACAAAGCAACUUGAGUAUCGACGGGGUUCAUAGUUUUAUACAAGUAAUGUUUCCUUUUUGCUUGCAUUUUAAUUUGGUUUAUUUCAUGUUAUACAUAUGAGUGUAUGAUCUGAUGCUGUGGCGGUUGCUGAUGGUUGUCUUUUUCCUGAACUGCAGGUUAAUCUGUUCAUCAGUCGUGCAAUUUUUUAAUUAGAAUUCUAUAGUAUUCACCUAAAGAUGUUUGCAUACGGUACUGAGUCGAGCGGAAAAGUAGAGGCGAAUGUGUUUAAAUGUUGUUGUCACCUAGUGUUUUACCAUUGAACCCUUAACAACAGUGUUUUGUUUCAUUUAACCGAGUUUGAAUUAUAAAUUUGCCCAAUUUUUUUCUUCGAUUUCUGAGGUUGUAAAUCUUUGGAGUUCGAACUGUUAUUAAAUCAUAAAAUUUUCAAGAAUAAAAAACGUUUUUUUUUAAAAUGAUUUAAUAAAAAGAAAUUUUUUUUGUCAAGAUUAUCCCCCUCACCUCCUCUCCAUCUACCUCGAACCAAUCAGACCCUUAAAGAAUUAGAGAAAUACAGUAAAGAAGUAAAAAAUAAGGAAAAAUUGAGUCAAACACAAUUUUUUACCUCUUUACUACUUUUAAGGAGAAGAAAAAAGUAGAAAAAAAGUAGGGACAAACGGAGUCAAAGUCAUAGCUGACGGGAACAUAUGAUAAGCUUCACCGAUAAGGAUCAUCGGCUGCAAAGACCAAUGCUACCAUUCCUGCUGCAAUACCUUAGCCGCAAGAUCAAUGUUCCGCUUUCUUAUAUAUAGCAUUGGAUGCAAACAUAUCAUUACUUCAUUAAAAUAGUGGCCACCACUAAAGGAGGACGUUAACAAUAUUAAAAAAAAAAAAAAUAGGCUAUCAAAUUUUUGUGUAGUUCCAUAAAAUAAAAGAUUAUGGAUAAUUUUAUAUUAUAAUUUUCACUAGUUUAAAGACCGUGAAUUUGUAUGGGUCUAUUGACUUUUAUUCAAUAUUUGAGUUUAUCACUAUAUUAAAAAUGUAGAAAAUUUAUUUAAAAUUAAAUAUUUAAAUAUUGUUAUAUAAAAUUAUUAAAAUUAAAAUUAUUUAUUCAAUUUUUUAUGUUUUAGUGACAAGAAUAUAAUUUAUAUGCACCGUCGGUCUAAAGUUAUUUUACACAUGCGUCCAAUAAUAUAGUGACAAUUACAAAUAGUGGUCCCGUAUAUAUUUUUAAUCAAAAAUUAGAAAUAAAUUUAAUUUUAAUAAUUUCUUUAUUUUAUGAAAAAUAUUGUUUAUUUUUUAUUUAUAUAUUCCUGUUUGUAUGCGGUUUCAUCUUCUUUUUUUUCUAUAUUAUUUCAAUAAUUUUUUUAUUGACUAAACUUUCUAUAAUUUUUUUUCUUUCCUAUUUUUAUGUAUAAAUUGUUCUACUUUGUUCCUAUCUAUAAUCUGUUUUGUUCCUACUUUUAAGCAUAUCAUCUUUCAAUAUAUUUUUUUUCCUUUUUUUACGGAGUAUUUUGUUAUGUGUUUUAUUUUUGGAUAUUUUUUGUUAAAAAGAUAAUUUGUUAUCGGUUUCUUGUGGAACAAGACAAGUAUUUGUUACUAACUUUAUUUCUUUAUAAAUACUAUAUUCGACUCUUUCACUCCACUUGCACAACUUCUUCUUUCUGGGUGAGUUAGUUCUCAACUUCUCAUCAUCUCCCAAAAUUAUCUUAUUACUUCAGAUUCAGAGUAUAAUCAGCAUUUAUUCCCUAUAUAUCAUUUAUUUGUUGAAUGGAAUCAGUUUCAUAUAUACAACGCAGUUGCGAAAAUUAUUAAACUUUACCUAUGUGUUUCAGGUGAAUUGUGACUCUUUUCUAGUAUGGAUUGCAUAAGUGAAUUGCCCGACGAAAUCCUGUCUUAUAUCCAAACAAUGUUAUCCAUCAAAGAUUUGUUGAAAACCAGUGUACUAUCUAAAAGAUGGCGCAACCUUUGGGCUCUAAGGAGAGAUCUUCACUUUGAUAUCUUCCAUGUGCUUGGAAGCAGCGAGGAGGAACUACUACAAACUGUGAUUCCUACUAGUAGUUCUACUAUCGAGAGAUGUGUCCGUCUGGAUAUCGGUAUGAGUGAAUUUGUAAAACGAGUAGAUCAAUUUCUCAACAAUUUUCAAGGCACAAAGAUAAAUUCUUUCUUUGCGAGCUUCUAUUCAUAUGAUAAACACAGUAAUAUUAUUGAUCAAUGGAUUAGUUUUGCAAUUGCAAGGGGAGUUGAAACAAUCAAUUUACUCUUAUUACCAAUGCCUGAAACUUGUGCUACUCGAUACAAACAAUACAAGUUUGCCUUUGACUUGUUUUCGGAGACUAAUGCUUCAACUCUAAAGCAUCUGCAUCUCGAACAUUGUCUUGUUUGCCAUCCCACCAACCGUGACUAUAUUCCCUUUCAAAAUUUGAGAUUUCUUUCACUUGAAAGAACAAAGUUGGAUGAAAUGUUCAUUGAAAGUGUGUUAUCGAAUUGUCGAUGGCUUGAAGAGCUUCACUUAGUUUUAUGUGAGUUCAGAUCAUCAAUGCCAAAGAUAGUGAGUUCUUCCUUAAUACAUCUCAAGGUUGCAGGAUGCUAUGUUGUAUCUGGCUACGUCCAGAUGCAAAUAGAGCUGAGUUCAAUAGAUUGCCUUAAACUCACUUCAUUGGAAUACCAUGGAUAUAGUUUGGAUACCUUAAAAAUUAAUACCCCUUUGUUGAAGAGGAUUCAUUGCACUGUUUUUUAUUGUGAAGAUCCUAAUCAAUAUGGACUCUUUGCAACUCUUCCUCAACUUGAGAUUAUGCAAUUGGACAUCUAUUCAAUGGUUAGUCAUAAAGUGUUUGAUUAAAUUUCUGUCUUUUAAAUGAUAUUUUUUUUUAAUCUUACAUUUUUUUCUUGUUUAGGUCCCUACUUCUCUAAAAAUAACUCAACCAUUCAAACAUCUUAAGCAAUUGAACUUCUUCCUUUUCUGGCCUUUGGAUAUUGUAGAAGAAUCAAAGUUUGAUCUUUUGGGGAUUUUAACCAUCCUACGAGCUACUCCGCUUUUGCAUAAACUUUCGAUAAUGGUGAGUGAACAUGAUUAAUAUACACAAUUUAUUCUUUUUUUUAGGUUUGUGUUGUUAUUGUUUUGAUUUGAGUCAUGGCUUCAUAAAUUAAAUUAAUAACUUUUUUACCUGGUGACUGAUGCAAUUAAGAUCAUAUAGGUUUAAAAAGGUCAUGCAUAGUAAUUGUGUAUAUUUAACUCCUAUUUCUAUUUUUUUUUNNNNNNNNNNNNNNNNNNNNNNNNNNNNNNNNNNNUGGUAUGAAAUUGAGUUUGUUAUGAAUGCUCUAAGAUACGCCCACAAACUUAAGCGAAUAGUUUUGAGUCCUUAUUGGAGACAACAUGACUCAUUGGAUUGGAAUUCUGAUCCUACGUGGUUUCAAAAUAGGCGUCAAAAGAUUAGGGAAAAACUUCAAAGUAAAAAUGUAGUUGGACGAGAAAAACUUGUACUCAUAUAAAAUUGAGUAUAAUGUAUAUUUUUUUUUAGUUUUGUUGUAAUGAUAGAACAAUAUUAAUAUUGAUAUUCCUCAUAAUUUUAUUACUUGUAAUCAGUUAAAUAAUAUGCAUUUGACUACCUGAAUAAUUAUUUUUCCUAAUAAUUUCGUCCAGUUAAAUAAUGAUUAAUUUUGUUCUUGUUGUUUUUUAAUUUAAAAUUCAGUUUGAAAACUAAGUCAUUAAAGAAAUUACUAAAUCGAGUUGCAAACUACAUCACUCUUUUUAAGAUUGUUUACGGCAUUACACAAAUUUGUGCCACUUAAUCUUCAAGAUAAAAUAGCUCAGGUCAAACUAAUAUCGAAUAUCUGCUGCAUCGUAAAAAUCGGUCAAAAAUUACACCUUAUAUAUAGUAUAAUACCUCUCGAAUAUGACAUUAUGACCAAUUGUGUGUAUUGCGGCAGAAAAGCCUUGAAACAAUAGAAUAGAAAAGAAAAAAUAGAUGAGGUAGGAAUAGAGAGAAAAGAGAAUUCGAAAUUGCUGAAAUAUGAAAUAACUAGUAUAGACACUCGUGUCAAGUACGGCUAGAUUUUAUUUUUUCUUUCAUAAAUUUUAAAAAUAUUCUUCAUAUAUAAUUCUAUUUUGAAAUUAAUGAAUGUUUUAAAAGUGAAAAAUAGAGGGUUCGGACCCACGUCACAUAGCUGUUGUUCAUAAAAAUAUAAUAAUUUGAUGUGUUGUUCUUUUUUUGUGUUUUCCAUUACAUAUUUUAAUUUUUUAUAUAUUUUGAUUUGUUUUUUGUUCUUGUGCUCGGGUCCAGUUAUUAUAAUUUUUUUUUUUUUGUGUUUAGCUAAUUUUUCUUAUGCUAUUUGUUUUGUUUUUAGGGNNNNNNNNNNNNNNNNNNNNNNNNNNNNNNNNNNNNNNNNNNNNNNNNNNNNNNNNNNNNNNNNNNNNNNNNNNNNNNNNNNNNNNNNNNNNNNNNNNNNNNNNNNNNNNNNNNNNNNNNNNNNNNNNNNNNNNNNNNNNNNNNNNNNNNNNNNNNNNNNNNNNNNNNNNNNNNNNNNNNNNNNNNNNNNNNNNNNNNNNNNNNNNNNNNNNNNNNNNNNNNNNNNNNNNNNNNNNNNNNNNNNNNNNNNNNNNNNNNNNNNNNNNNNNNNNNNNNNNNNNNNNNNNNNNNNNNNNNNNNNNNNNNNNNNNNNNNNNNNNNNNNNNNNNNNNNNNNNNNNNNNNNNNNNNNNNNNNNNNNNNNNNNNNNNNNNNNNNNNNNNNNNNNNNNNNNNNNNNNNNNNNNNNNNNNNNNNNNNNNNNNNNNNNNNNNNNNNNUGUUCAACCAAAAAAUCAUACUCGAGUUCUCCCGAAUGAUUUCUCUUUUUUUUUUUUGCUUUCACCACAAGUUUAAUCUGGUACGGGGUCAGUUCUGGCAUCAAGUGGUUCCAGUCAUCUCCCGAUCGCAGUUGUGGGGAUCGAAUUGUGGUCCUCUCCAACCAAGUUCAACGUCAAUCACCACUGAAUCAACUAACCAUCGAUGAAUGAUUUCUCCUUUGUUGAAACUCGUAUAGUCCUUUUUCAUCAAACUUUCUCACAUCAAUUUAAAAAGGGUCAUGUUAACUUGUGCCCUAAGGGCACCUGUUAAGCUACCUAAAAAUAGAAAUAUAUAGUAUUUAAUGAUACAAAGAAUUUAAUGUUUAGAAAAUUGAAUACAACACAAGUUCAAUAAACAUUUUCCACAUUUAUGUUUUUUUUUGUUUUUGAAGAAGCUAAACUAGCCCACCCAAAUUAGCACCAGAUAAAAUCGAACCUCAGACCUCAAGUUCUUAACAUGUACCUAAGGCCACAAGUUAACAUUCUCCAUUUAAAAAUAGUAAUUAUGUGAAUUUAUUGUCGAUAAAAUUUUACAUUUUAUUUAGUUGGAUUGAUGAAAAGACUGCCACGUAGGAAUUAGAUUUAAAAAUAGUAGAUUUGGAAUAGAUUCUCGGAUGCGUGAUGUGACUUUUUUUUUUCUUUUUUUUUUUUUACAGUAGNNNNNNNNNNNNNNNNNNNNNNNNNNNNNNNNNNNNNNNNNNNNNNNNNNNNNNNCAGUAGGAAUUAGGAAUACAAGAUCGGUGCCGCUGCAACAUAUUCUUCUUCUUCGGUGAGUUAAUCUUCUCAAAUUUUUUUAGGGCAAAUAUAUUAUUAAUAAUAAUCAGCUCUAUCUGCACAAGAAGAACAGAGACGGUAAGCGGAACACCAAUAAAGGCGGCAUAUAAGCAGAACACCAAUAAAAAUAGCAAAAGAGUCUUAUCAAAAUUCUCUUAUAUAAAUUUUCUUCUACUUCAUAUGAUUAUUACUUUAGAGUAGCAGAAUUACUUAAUAUAUAUUUCAAUUUUCUCAGGUGCAUAUUGUGAGUCUUUUCUAAGAUGGAUUGCAUUAGUGAAUUGUCAGACGAAAUCCUAUCUUAUAUUUUAACAAUGUUAUCCAUCAAAGAUUUGUUGAAAACAAGUGUACUAUCUAAAAGGUGGUGCAAACUUUGGUAUCUAAGGAGAGAUCUUGACUUUAAUAUCUUACAUAUGCUUGGAAGCACUAGCAGAAAACCAUUAGAAGAACGUGGCCAUUUGAAUGUCAAUAUGGAUGAAUUUGUAAAACGAGUAGAUCAAUUUCUCAACAAUUUCCAAGGCACAAAGAUAGAUUCUUUCUCUUUGAGCUUCUAUUCAAAUGAUAAACACAGUAAUAUUAUUGAUCAAUGGAUUAGUUUUGCAAUUGCAAGGGGAGUUGAAACAAUCAAUCUACUCUUAUUAACAUACAACCGAUACAAAUUUGCCUUUGACUUAUUUUCGGAGACUAAUGCUUCAACUCUAAAGCAUUUGCAUCUCGAACGUUGUCUUGUUUGCCAUCCCACCAAAUGUGACUACAUUCCUUUCAAAAAUUUGAGAUCUCUUUCACUUUACUUUUCAAAAGUGGAUGAAAUUUUCAUUGAAAGUUUGUUAACUAAUUGUAGAUGGCUUGAAGAGCUUGACUUAGAAUUCUGUGAGUUCAGAUCAUCAAUGCCAAAGAUAGUGAGUUCUUCUUUAAGUAAUCUUAAGGUUAGAAAAUGCUAUGUUGUAUCUGGGAACAUGAAGAAGGAAAUAGACCUGAGUUCAUUAGAUUGCCUUAAACUCACUUCAUUUGAGUAUCAUGGAUAUAAUUUGGAUACCUUAAACAUUAAUACCCCUUUGUUGAAUAUCAUUUAUUGCACUGUUCCUGAUUGUGAAGAUCCUAUUCCUAAUCAAUAUGUUGUACUCUUUGCAACUCUUCCUAAACUUGAGAUUAUGAAAUUGGACUUCUAUUCAAGGGUUAGUCAUAAAGUGUUGGAACUGUGAAUUGUUUAAAUUGCUUUGUCUUUUGAAUCAUAUUUAUUUAAUCUUACAUUUUCUUGUUUAGGUCCCUAUUUUAAAAAUAACUCGGCCAUUCAAACAUCUUAAGCAAUUGGACAUCACCUUUUUCUUGCCUUCGGAUAUCGAAGAAUAUUCAGAGUUCGAUCUUUUGGGGAUUUUAACCCUUCUACAAGCUUCUCCGCUUUUGCAUAAACUUUCUAUAAUGGUGAGUGAACAUGGUUAAUACACACAUUUUAUUCUCUUAUUUUGUUGGUGUUAUUGUUCUGAUUUUGAGUCAUGGCUUCAUAAAUUAGGGUAAUACUUUUGACAUGGUGAGUUAUGCACUUAAGAUCAUAUAUGUUUGAACAUCCUAAUGUUCUUUUACAUAUUGAGUUUAUUGCACUUACCUGUCCAUUAUAUUUCCAAAUAUAGCCUUUGAUUUGAUAUACCUUUAAGGAGUUUAUCUGGAUAUUUUUAUUUGCAUUCAUCGGUAUAAGUUUAUCUCGGAUUUAACUACAGUAUUUGUUUUUUUUAGCUCACGCAUCCAGAGAUCGUUGGAAAUCAGAACGUUGUCAAGGAUGUUGAUAUAUGCUCUCAUGACGAGGUCAAAGUUAUUGAACUGAGAGGUUGUGUUGGCAAUUGGUAUGAAAUUGAGUUUGUUAUGAAUGUUCUGCGAUAUGCCCACAAACUUGAGCGAAUAGUUUUGAGUCCUUAUUGGAGAGAAUGUGACUCAUGGGAUUGGUAGUCUGAUCCCGUGUGGUUUCAAAAUGGACGUCAAAGGAUUAGUGAAAAACUUCUGAAUGAAAAUGUAGUUGGACGAGAAAAACUUGUGCUCAUAUAAAGUGUAUGAUGUUUGAUGAUAGAACAAUAUUUGUAUUUAUAUUGCUCAUAACUUUGUCUAAGAUCAACACAAAAUCCUUGAUCCCAAAAUUUCAACUUUGAGAAGAAUGUGUGAGGUGCUUGCUCUGAAUUUGUCGAGUUGAGUUUGAGUUCUCAGAUAGCCCUCUUUCACAGAGAAUAGUAAUACUUGAUUUUUUUUCUAGUCGUUCUUGUUUUUUCAUUACUAAGUUUUGAAUACCAACACAAUGCUUGUUAUUUAGAGUUUUCUGCUCAUCAAUCAUGAAAUUUUUUGUUCAUUUAGAAUUAUUGACAUUUUAUGGAGUGAUCGUUAUGGAUCCUGGCACACUUAGCAUUCAAUGGUGUUAAUUAAGUUAAGAAACUCUCACAUGUGCUUUCAUAUUUCAAGUCAUCUGAAGAGUAACAAACACUAUAUGUCUAUAUAUGUAUGGUGGGAAUAGAAAAGGAUGUGGAGUCUUGCGUAGAAAGAUAGCUUUUGUUUGGAUCGAUGGAAUGUGGUGAAAUGGGAUGCCCUGUGUAAAAACUUAGGUUUUGUUUGGAUUGAUGGAAUGUGAUGAAAUGGUGUGACGUGUAAUUCCAUUUGUUUGGAUUUUAAAAAAAUGAAUAGAAUGAAGGAGUAUAUGAUGACAUUCCAUCACAUUCCCUCAUUUUGGUUCCCCUCCAUUUUGGGGUAUACAUGAUGGGAAUCAAACUUCUUUAAAUCAUAAUUACCGAAUUAUAUUCAUCCAUUAUUUUAUAAAAUCUUAACUUUUCACCUUGUUUUCCAUCAAAGCCUUAAUUCAUACCCACCUCAAAGUUUAUUUACGAAAUUUCAAAGUAUCUUCCACAUUUUCCAUAGAGAAAUUAUUUUCCAUCAACUUUAUAAUUCUUUUAGUGGAGAAUAAUAGAAACAACAACUACCAUACAUUUUUAAAUUGAUAAAAAAACUAAUGUGUCAAAAAAAAAAUACAUACUAUAGGAAUCUUCCCUAAGAAAAUUUAUGACACUAUACAUAAAUUAUUUUAUAGUUAGCUUUAUCACAUUCACAGUGUUAUUUUGAUCAUUAAAUUAUAAAUAUUUAUAUAGUUUUUUUUUACUACAAAUAUCUAUUUCCAUUAACAAUAAUUUAUUUUUUAUUAGUUUAAAGUAAAAUAUAUUAUAUUAUACCAAUCGUUAGUUAAUUCGGUGGUGAUUGACGCUGAACUUUGUAGGAAGGAUCACGAUUCAAUCCCCGCAACUGCAAUCGAGUGAAAUCACUUGAUGUCAAAACUGACACCCGAACCAGGUUAAAUUGACGGUGAAAAACCAAAAAAAAUAAAUAAUAAAAAUAUAUUAUAUAUUAUUUUUAAGUCUAUAAAUCUACAAACGCAUUUUUAACAGAUGAGAUGCUUGUUUAUUAUAAAUAUCCAGCUCAGUCUUCGAUAAUGUACUGAUAUUCAUCCGAGUAAAACGUGUGCCGAAGCGAUGUUGAUUCAUAUAUAUCUUUGACGCUUUCACAGCUUCUUCUUCGGUGAGUCGGUUCUCUUAAAAUAUCUUAUUACUUUAGAGCCCUAAGAGUAUAUAUGGAUAAUUAUUUGUUGAAUAGGAAUCACUUUUAUACAAAAACCACCACUAGAUCUUUUUUUAAUCACUAGUACUAAAAUUGCUUAUAUUAAACUUUACUUAUAUAUAUAUAUAUAUAUAUAUAUUUCUCAGGUGCAUUGUGACUCUUUUCUAAGAUGGAUCGCAUUAGUGAAUUGCCUGACGAAAUCCUGUGUUAUAUCCUAACAAUGUUAUCCAUCAAAGAUUUGUUGAAAACCAGCAUACUGUCUAGAAGGUGGUGUAAGCUUUGGACUCUAUGGAGAGAUCUCCACUUUGAUAUCUUCCACGUGCUUGGAAAGAGCAAGCAAGAAGUAUUACAUCUUCCUAGUAAUUCUCCAAUGGAGAUACAAGUCCAUCGGGAUAUCAAUAUGGAUGAAUUUGUAAAACGAGUAGAUCAAUUUCUCAACAAUUUUCAAGGCACAAAGAUAAAUUCUUUCUUUGCUAGCUUCUAUUCAUAUGAUAAACACAGUAAUAUUAUUGAUCAAUGGAUUAGUUUUGCAAUUGCAAGGGGAGUUGAAACAAUCAAUCUACUCUUAUUACCAAUUAUGCCUUGUACUUAUGUUACUCCAUAUGAACCAUACAAGUUUGUCCUUGACUUAUUUUUGGAGACUAAUGCUUCAACUCUAAAGCAUCUGCGUCUCGAACAAUGUCUUGUUUGCCAUCCCACCAAAUGUGACUACAUUCCUUUCAAAAAUUUGAGAUAUCUUUCACUUUACCUUUCAAAAGUGGAUGAAAUGUUCAUUGAAAGUCUAUUAUCAAAUUGUAGAUGGCUCGAAGAACUUCACUUAUUUGGUUGUGAGUUCAGAUCAUCAAUGCCAAGGAUAGUGAGUUCAUCCUUAUGUUAUCUCAAGGUUGGAGCAUGCUUUGACAACAUUCCGAAGAAUAUAAAUCUGAGUUUACUAGAUUGCCUUAAACUCACUUCAUUGGAGUACCAUUCAUUGUUGUACGAUGGAUAUAGUUUGGAUACCUUGAACAUUAAUACCCCAUUGUUGAAGAGCUUUCACUGCACUGUUUUUUAUGCUGAUGAUCCUAAUCAAUAUGCAAUCUUUGAAACUCUUUCUAAACUUGAGAUUAUGAGAUUGGACAUCAAUUUAAAGGUUAGUCAAAAAGUGUUGGAACACUGACUGAAUUGUUUAAAUUUCUGUCUUUUGAAUGAUAUUUAUUUAAUGAUCUUACAUUUUCUUGUUUAGGCUCUUAUUUCCCUAAAAGAAAUUCAACCAUUCAAACAUCUUAAGCAAUUAAACAUCAUCAUUUUCCAGCACUUUGUUACUGUAGAACCUUCUGAGAUCAAUCUUUUGGGGAUUUUAAUCCUUCUACGAGCUUCUCCGCUUUUGCAUAAACUUUCUGUAAUGGUGAGUGAACAUGGUUAAUACACACAUUUUAUUCUCUUUCUUUUGGUGUGUGUUGUAACUGUUCAAAUUUUGAGUCAUGGCUUCAUAAAUUAAGUUAAUAUUUUUGACCUAGUGAGUCAUGCACUUAAGAUCAUAUAUGUUUCAUGUUUGAACAUCCUAAUGUUCUUUUAUGUAUGUAUUGAGUUUAUUGCACUUAUCUGACCAUUAUGGAAAUCUAUAAUCAAAAUCUCCACUUUAUUUCCAAGUUUUUUGUGUACAUUCAUUGGAAGUACUUUAUAUUUAUAGUUAUACAAACUUUUGUUAUUAAUUAGUUUAGAAAAUUUUCUUAUAUAUUUCGAUUUGCUCAUUGGUAUAAGUUUGUCUCGGAUUUAACUACUAUUUGUUUUUUUAGAUCACACGUCCAAUGAUCGUUGAAAAUCAGAAAGUUGUCAAGGAUGUUGAUAUAUGCUCUCAUGACAAGGUCAAAAUUAUUGAACUAGGAGGUUGUGUUGGCAAUUGGUAUGAAAUUGAGUUUGUUAUGAAUGUUCUGCAAUAUGCCCACAAACUUGAGCGAAUAGUUUUGAGUCCCUAUUGGAGAGAAUGGGACUCAUCGGAUUUGGAUUGGAAGUCUGAUCCUGUGUGGUUUCAAAAUGGACGUCAAAAGAUUAAUGAAAACCUUCGAAAUGAAAAUGUAGUUGGAAGAGAAAAACUUGUGCUCAUAUGAAGUGUAUAAUGAUAGAACAAUAUUAAUAUCGAUAUUGCUCAUAAUUUUAUUAUUUGUAAUCAUUAACUUUGUCCAAGACCUGAUCCCAAAAUUUCAACUUUGAGAAGAAUGUGUGAGGUGCUCUGAAUUUGUCGAGUUGAGUUUGAGUUCUCAGAUAGCCCUCAUUCAAAGAAGAGUAAUGCUUGUUAUUUAGAGUUUUCUGCUCAUCAAUCAUGAAUUUUUUUUGUUUUAGAAUUAUUGACAUUUUAUGGAGUGAUCGUUCCUGACACUUAGCAUUCAAUGGUGUUAAUUAAGUUAAGUAACUCUCACAUGUGCUUUCAUAUUUCAAAGUCACGUGGAGAGUAACAAACACUAUAUACGUAUGGUGGGAAUAGAAAAGGAUGUGGAGUCUUACGCAGAAAAGUUAAGCUUUGUUUGAAUCGAUGGAAUGUGGUGGAAUGAAAUAGUUUAAAUUUCAUUUGGUUUGAUAGAAUGGGAUGACAUGUGGUCCCGUUUGUUUGGAAUAAUGUGGUAGAAUGGGAUAAGAUCUUAACUUUUCAUCUUGUUUUGCUCAUAUGGUCUUAAAUAAUAUUUUUUUAAAAAAAAUUAUCAUGUGCACGACUUGUAGGGAGUGUAAUUGGACCGGUUUGGAUCGGUUUUUGGUGAAUCCAAUGUAUGAAUCAAUGAAUUCUCGAUUGGUUUGGUUUUUGAUGUUUUUCAAAAGUGAAACUGAACCAAACUAAUUGGAUACAUUAAUUGGUUUGAAGCUUUUUUUUUCGAUGUAUUACAAGCUGUUAUUUUUUUAUUUGAUAUAUAUUUUCUGCUAUUAUUUUUUCAAUCACACCGAACACUUGAUGUAAUCAAUCAAUUAUCACCAUACAUGAGUGGGAUGAGUAGCUCAACUAGGAGGUUCAAGGUGCAAGUUCUGAAAAAAAUUAACAUAACAUUGUAAUACUAACCACUAACAUUGUUUAUCAAAAAAAUAAAUUAUCACCAUACAUAAAAAAAAACAAUGAUUUUCAAUCAAAUGUUUCAAAAUUUUAUCGGAGUGUGUCAAAGCGUGUGACCGUAGCAUUAUUUAUUUAUUUUUUUACAAGUAACCCUAUUUUUUUUGGAUACAAGUAACCCUAUUUUUGUUUUACCGUCAAACGUAACCCUAUUUAAUGAUAUCAAUAGGGGCUUAUAAAAAAAGACGAAAGUAAUAAGAUGAUCACUUUUAUACAAACCGGUCUCCAAAACCACCACACUAGAUCUUUUUUUAAUUACUAGUACUAAAAUUGGUUUACAACCAACGAUUUUCACUAAGAUUAUAAAUUUCUUCUUCUUCACUUUGCUUAUAUUAAACUUUACCUAUAUAUUUUCUCAGGUGCAUUAUUGUGACUCUUUUCUAAAAUGGAUGAUCGCAUUAGUGAAUUGUCUGACGACAUCCUGUCUUAUAUCCUUACGAUGUUGUCCAUUAAAGAUUUGUUGAAAACAAGUGUACUGUCUAAACGGUGGUGCAAUGUUUGGUCUCUAAGGAGAGAUCUUCACUUUGAUUUCCUCAAUGUGCUUGGAAGAAGCCAGGAAGAAAUAUUAAAACCUAUACAUCAUCUUAGUAGUUCUCCGACGGGACACGUCAAACUGAGUAUCAAUUCGGAUGAAUUGUAAAACGAGUAGAUCAAUUUCUCAAGAAUUUUCAAGGCACAAAGAUAGAUUCUUUCUUUGCUAGCUUUUACUUAAAUCAUACACACAAUAAUAUUAUCGACCAAUGGAUUAGUUUUGCAAUUGCAAGGGGAGUUGAAAGAAUCAAUCUACUCUUGUUAUCAUACAACCAAUACAAAUUUGCCUUUGACAGCUUAUUUUCGGAGACUAAUGCUUCAACUCUAAAGCAUUUGUGUCUCAAACAUUGUCUUGUUUGCCAUCCCACCAAAUGUGACUACAUUCCUUUCAAAAAUUUGAGAUCUCUUUCCCUUCACCUUUCAAAAGUGGAUGAAAUUUUCAUUGAAAGUUUGUUAUCUAAUUGUAGAUGGUUGGAAGAGCUUCACUUAUUAGUUUCUUGUGAGUUCACAUCAUCAAUGCCAAAAAUAGUGAGUUCAUCCUUAUGUCAUCUCAAAAUUGAUGCAUGCUAUGUACCUGGCAACUCCCAUAAGCAUAUAAACCUGAGUUCACUAGAUUGCCUUAAACUCACUUCAUUAGAGUACCGUUCAUUCAAUGGAUAUAGGUUGGAUACCUUUAACAUUAAUACCCCUUCGUUGAAGAGCAUUUAUUGCAUGAUUAUUUAUUAUGAUGAUCCUAAUCAAUAUGCAUUCUUUGCAACUCUUCCUAAACUAGAGAUUAUGAGAGUGGAAAUCAAUGCAUGGGUUAGUCAUGUUCGAACACUAAAUUGUUUAAAUUUCUUUGUCUUUUGAAUGCUAUUUAUUUAAUGAUUUUAUAUUUUCUUGUUUAGGUCCCUACUUCUCUAAAAAUAACUCAGUCAUUCAAACAUCUUAAGCAAUUGAACAUCAUCUUAUGCAUGCCUUUGUAUACCGUAGAACAUUCAGAGUUCGAUCUUUUGGGGAUUUUAACCCUUCUACGAGCUUCUCCGCUUUUACAUAAACUUUCUGUAAUGGUGAGUGAUACACACAUUUUAUUCUCUUUUUUUUUUUCUCUUCAAGAUCCUCUGCAUUGUAAAGCAAUAUUCAAGAAAAUAAUGUGGUGAUCUAGAUUAUUAAUAAUAUGAAGAUCAAUGAUCAAAAUCCAUUUCCCAAGUUUUCAUUUCAUUGGUAUUUUAUAUUUGAGUUUAAUUGAUAUGCACUGACAGUGUAAAACAAUUUUACACCAUCGUCCAAUAAACAACCAUUAUUUUGUCAUACCAUAUCAAGAAAGUGGGGUGAUGUGACGGAAAACAUUGUUGGUAUUGGUUGAGAGUGUAAAAUUAUUUUACACCGCCGGUGCAUAUCAAUCAAAUCCUUUAUAUUUAUAUUUAUAGAAACUUUUGUUUUUUUUUUUGAAAAAGUUAUAGAAACUUUAGAUAUUUUGAUUAAUAUAUUCAUCGGUAUAAUGUCAUAAAGUUUUCUAUUUCUUUUUUUAGAUUACAGAUCCAAUGAUCAUUGAAAAUCAGGAAGUUGUCAAGGAUAUUGAUAUAUGCUCUAAUGAUGAGGUCAAAGUUAUUGAAUUAGGAGGUUGCGUUGACAAUUGGUAUGAAAUUGAGUUUGUUAUGAAUGCUCUAAAAUAUGCCCACAAACUGGAGCAAAUAGUUUUGAGUCCCUAUUGGAGAGAACAUGACUCAUUCGAUUGGAAUUUUGAUCCUAUAUGGUUUCAAAAUAGACGUCAAAUGAUUAGUGAAAAACUUCAAAGUAAAAAUAUAGUUGGACGACAAAAACUUGUUCUCAUAUAAAGUGUACAACGUCUCUCAUGUUAUGUUAUAUGAUAGAACAAUAUUAAUAUUGAUAUUACUCUUAAUUUUAUUACUUGUAAUCAUUGCAAUUGCAUUUCACUACUUUAGUUUCUUCCUUUCAUUGUAGAACUCCAAGUAGUAUUUGUUUGUAACAUGAAAAGAACACGACAGAAAACCUAAUACUCCUACAAAACAUUACUACAAAACAAGUAACUUAAUGCAACAUCAACAUAAAACUUGGAUAAAAUUAAAUUUUGUACAACUCUAUCCUCUCAAAGACCAUUUCCGUCGAGACCGAGACGAUCACUACAAAAACUUAUGGCACAACCGAUAGUUGAAGCCGCCCUGUCCAUUCCUCUCUAGGCUUCAAGUUCACACAGGUUUCUCUAUAACUGCCGCAUCUACACAAAGCAUCUGUUUAUACUCCUCUUCGCCAAACUUAUGCUACUCCAUACAAACCAUACAAGUUUACCGUUGACUUAUUUUCGGAGACUCAUCCUUCAACUCUAAAGCAUAUGCAUCUCGAACAUUGUCUUGUUUCCCAUCCCGCCAACUGUGACUAUAUUCCUUUUAAAAAUUUGAGAUUUCUUUCAAUUUAGUGGAUGAAAUGUUCGUUGAAAGUCUGUUAUCUAAUUGUCGAUGGCUUGAAGAGCUUCACUUAAUUUCCUAUGAAUUCAUAUCAUCAAUGCCAAAGAUAGUGAGUUCAUCCUUAUGUCAACUCAAGGUUGCAGGAUGCUAUGUUGUAUCUGGCAACUUCAGGAUGGAAAUAAACCUGAGUUCAUCCUUUUCUAAUCUUUGAAGACUAUAGAAGAUUCAAAGUUUGAUAUUUUGGGGAUUUUAACCAUCCUACAAGCUUCUCCACUUUUGUAUAACUUUCUGUAAUGGUGAGUGUACAUGGUUAAUACACACAUUUUAUUCUCUUUUUUUUUGGUGUGUGUUGUUACUAUUCUGAUUUUGAGUCACGGCUUCAUAAAUUAAGUUAAUACUUUUGACAUGGUGAGUCAUGCACUUAAGAUCAUAUAUGUAUGAACAUCCCAAUGUUCUUCUACAUAUUGAGUUUAGUGUACUUAUCUGUCCAUUAUAUUUUCAAAUAUAGCCUUUGAUUGGAUUCCUUUAAGGAGUUAGGAGUUCUAUCAUAAAACAUUAUCCCUUUUGCUUUUAGUGACUAUGAUUAUCAAUGUCUUACAAUACAUGCAAGUCAUGUUUCAAUUCAAAACAAAAUUGAACUCAAUAUUUUCAAAUCUUUUUGUGAGUCUACUUUGGAGUUUGGACAUGAAUCCCAAUCAAAUUGUUAAUCCAAAAAAAUUUCUAGAAAUUUCUGUAGUCAGACACAUUUUCUUUUCGACUUUAUAGUCGGUAACUAUUUUUUAUUUUAAUUUAUGACUUGCAUUAUCGAGGUUUGUAUACAACAUAUGAACUUAUUAUUUUGAACAUGUUUCUUGUUUUUACUAAAAAAAAUUGUCUUUUAACUAUGUUUGCAACAACUAAAUUCCAGAAUUUCUUAGAUAGUGGUCAGAAAAUAACCUCCUCUGCAUAAUGACGAACACUUAAAGCUCCGCCUCUUUCCUCUUUGAAGCAAUUAUUAGCGUCCAGAAGAUUCUUUAGUUUGUGGGAAAAUGUUAAAUCAGCAGCCUCGAUGAGAUUUGAUUCCUCAUCCAACAAAAAGAGUAGACUGAGAAGUUUCUGCACAUUAAAUCAAAAUGAACAUUAAUCAGACAACAUUUUUGUUUUAUCCUGAUUAAUGUUCUUUUUGCAGAUCAAAGGCACAUUGUUUGUACAGUGUUAGAAUUUGAGAACAAUCAAGAAUGCUCGGAUCUAUUUGAGAAGGUACUUAUUUGGUUUAGUUGUCUAAAUGGUUUAAAGUUAUUCCUUUUUUCUUUUCUUUUUUUGACUAAUAGAGUUAUUCCUUUUUUCCUGGAAAUUGAGCUUUUAUUGUAGUUGUUUCGUUCAUUUUUAGGAAUUAUCCCUUUCUAUUAAAUAAACCAUUUUGAUUUAAUGUACAGAAACCUCUCAGUCUAUUCUCUUUGUUGUUUGGGGAAUCAAAUCUCACUGAGACUGCUGAUUUAACAUUUUCCAACAAAUAAAGAAUCUUCUGGACGAUAAUCAUUGCUUCAAAAAGAAAAGAGGCGGAGCUUUCAGUGUUCGUCAUUAUGCAGGGGAGGUUUUUUUUUUACCACUAUCUAAGAUGUUCUGGAAUUUAGUUAUUGCAAACAUAGUUAAAAGGCAUCUUUUUAAUAAAAACAAGAAACAUAUUCAAAAUAAUAAGUUCAUAUGUUAUAUACAAACCUCAAUAAUGCAAGUCAUAAAUUAAAAUAACAAAAGAAAAGUUACCGACUAUAAAGUCGAAAAGAAAAUAUGUCUGGUUGCAGAAAUUUCUGGAAAAAAAUUUGGAUCAACAAUUUGAUCAGGAUUCACGUCCAAACUCCAAAGUAGACUCACAAAAAGAUUUGUAAAUAUUGAGUUCAGUUUUGUUUUGAAUUGAAAAAUGACUUGCAUGUAUUGUAAGACAUUGAUAAUCAUGGUCACUAAAAGGGAUAAUGUUUUAUGAUUGAAAAACUUGUGCUCAUAUAAAGUGUAUAAUGUUUUAUGAUAGAAUAAUAUUGAUAUUGCUCAUAAGUUUAUUACUUUUGUUUCUUCCUUGCAUUCUAGAACUCCAAGUAGUAUUUUUUUUUGUAACAUGAAAAGAACACGACAGAAAACCUGAUACUCCUACAAAACAUCACUACAAGUAAUUUAAUGCAACAUCAACAUAAAACUCAGAUAAAAUUAAAUUUUUACAAUUCCAACCUCUCAAAGACCACUUCUGUCGAGACCGAGACGGUCACUACAAAAACUUGAUGGCACAACCGAGAGUUGAAGCCGCCCUGUCCAUUCCUCUCCAGGCUUCAAGUUCACAGGUUUCUCUGUAACCGCCGCAUCUACACAAAGCAUCUGUUUGUACUCCUCAUCGCCAAGGUCCACCAUUGAUUUCGAUUUCUUCUCCCACGGAUUCCACACAGCUGCAAUUCAAGUAGAAACAAAUAUGUCACUAAUAUCAAAGAAAUCACAAUGUCCAUCUUCGUUUGUCAUAUGAUAUGAGUUGUGAACUUUUACCAAUAUCAGGGAGACCUUCCUUUUUUAUAAUAUAUGUUUGUUUCUUCUCAUGAUCGAUAACUGCAAUUAUAUUUGGAGAGCUAAGAUAAACACGAUCCACCUGCUCGGAACAAAGGAUCAAUUUUGAAAACCUCUUUAUUCACAGGCUAGGAACGCGGGCCGAAAAGGAAAGAAAAAAAAAAGCUUGACUUGUGUCGCAGAGCUAUAAAUAUGUAGAUGUUGUAAAGAUAAUAAAUAUAACCCUCAAGAUUUACCUCGGAUUCAAAUGUUAUCGCAUCUCCUUGUUCUGUAAAUCGUUCUUUUUGAAAAAGGUUGUCCAGGUAAUCAAGUGUCUCAAGACCUUCAAUCCUUAUCUCACUAUACAUAAUUGUUAAUAUGAGCUAAAUAAUCCAACAGUCAAUAAUUUGAAAUACAAGAAAAAGAUGGUUGGACAUCAUUUUCUGUCCUCAAAAAAGGAAAUGAUUGUCACGUACAAGAAAGCAUUAUCCAUACCUAAUGUCAGAAACCAAAAAGUGUGUGUGGUAUGCGAAUGAGAAACUAAAUGGCUUGCCAUUGAUAUUCCUGACUCGUGAUAUCAGAUUUAGGUCUCCGCCUGUUGUAAGAGACACUCGAAGGCGGAACUCAAAACUAGUACAAUUAGGUAAUUGUUAGCUUAUUGUGAUUUGAAAUUUGCUUCCAACACAUAGAGAAAAGUGGUAGGAAAGAAGCACAUCAAUACCUAUGUGGCCAGCAUUUCUUUUCUUCUUCAGAUGAUGAUUUGAGUAGCAGGUCUACAAAGGAUUUCCCAUUGGAAUCAUUUGCAGGCAGUGGAGGAGGAUUCUCAUCAAUUGCCCAUAUUUUAUUUUUUGCAAAUCCAUGCAGCUCCAUCGAUCCACAGUUUCCAAACUAUUAUAUACAAAUUUAGGUCUAAGAUGAGUUAUGCUUGUUAAAAUUUACUGAGAUUUGAGACUAAUAUUCAAACUGAAUAUACAUACUUGUGGAAAACAAAUAGGAAUUCCUCCCCGUGUUGCUUUCAGCGCCUUCGAAAUUGUCUACAAUCAAUUACAAACAAGAAAUGGUAUAUGACUGAUUGCUUUUUUACAAAGUAAAAUUGGUUAAAAUUCUAUAUUUCACACCAAACAAAUCCAUAUACAAUCUGAAAAUGUAAAAUCAUUUUAAUCAAAAGGCACACGCACCUUGCUACUUGUGAAUAGAAGUUCUUCCCCGUGCUCCUUGCGCCAUGAAGUGACCUGUGCUCCCUGUAAGCUUAUCUAAUUUCAAGAAAGGACAGUUAAUCCUAAUACCACAUUAAAUUAUAUUCAUAUUUAAAGUUAUAUGAUUGAUUUCAUCAAAUGUUAAAACCGAUGGGAAUACACCAAUCAACAAGUUCUUCUCACCUGUGCUGAAGCGCCUUGUGGAGUCCGAAGUACAACUUGACCAAUUCCAUUCUGGUCCUUUGUAAUUUCAGUUGCUGCUCUAAAGUCCCACACAGCUGCAGAAUGCCCCAUCUGAAAUAAUUUAGCUCCUAUACUUCUCUACUCUCCAAGCAAAAUUGAAUACACUUAAUGAAUUCGUUACAUGCCGAUGCCUACGGUGAAACAAACAACUGAAUUAGCUUUGUCAAUCAAAAGCAAAACCUUAAUAUCCAAUUACUCGUCUAAUCUAUCCUCACUGGUAUGAUUCAGAUCUAGUGCGCCCAAAAUCAAUUUUAACAAAACAUGAACUAUGAAUGUAAGUGAAAAUUUCAUUAAAGCUAUGAAAGACAAAAACAUAAACAUCAAAUUUGAACAUUUGGCAAUUGAAUAUCAAUCAACCUGGCACANNNNNNNNNNNNNNNNNNNNNNNNNNNNNNNNNNNNNNNNNNNNNNNNNNNNNNNNNNNNNNNNNNNNNNNNNNNNNNNNNNNNNNNNNNNNNNNNNNNNNNNNNNNNNNNNNNNNNNNNNNNNNNNNNNNNNNNNNNNNNNNNNNNNNNNNNNNNNNNNNNNNNNNNNNNNNNNNNNNNNNNNNNNNNNNNNNNNNNNNNNNNNNNNNNNNNNNNNNNNNNNNNNNNNNNNNNNNNNNNNNNNNNNNNNNNNNNNNNNNNNNNNNNNNNNNNNNNNNNNNNNNNNNNNNNNNNNNNNGACGGCUAGGUUUUCAAUAAUAUUAUAAUAGCAUUACUUAACAAAAUAAGGAUUACAAAAUAAUUUAUAAUAAUUCCUAAUGGACUACUAAACUAUUAACAUAUAAAGCCCAAUACUUAAAGCCCUAAUAAUAUUAUUAUCUAACAAAUAUAUCCAAAAUAAUAAUAACAGUUCCAUUAAGAAAAUGUAACUUAAACUCAAGACAAGACAUUAAUUGCAACAAAUGAAACUCCUAUUUAUGAAGCACUUACGUUAGCAAUCUUGAAUCAUUAAUUCUAAUAGAAACCACAAAUUGACACAAGGUCUUGAAUUAUAAUGCAUGAUUGCUGUCAAAUGAGUUCAGAAAUUCAAGCAUCCAAUGACAAGAAACAAUACCUAUUAUUCAAAAGAACUGCAACAAAACCAAAGGGGUGAGAGAGAAAGAACAAAAACAAAAAGUGCAGAGAUGCAUUAGAAACAAAGAACUAUAAAGUUGAAAGGUACCCUUUUCUUAGAAGCAUUGAUUCAAACACUAAACUUGCAAAUGAAUCAUGAAAAGAUUAAAACUUUCAACCAAACCAAGAUUGGAAAAACAAAAUAAAAAAUUACAGCAACAUGUAGUAGGUGGCAAUAUCAUGGGAAAAUGGGAUAAACAUUGAUUUGUAUAUAAAUUGGUUUCGUAAGUUGUUAGUAUUUUAUUAUGUUGGGAUCUAAUCUUAAGGAUUAGGACGUGAAUAUACGAGAAAUACGUACAAAGUACAAACACGUGUACAAACCGACAAAUAGUCUAACGUUUUUUCGAGAGAAAAUAGUCGAACGUUAUUUAAUCAUUAAUCAUGUAAAUAAUUUGAAUUUUUUUAAAAAAACUUGGUAUCCGGCGUUAGUACCGACUAAUUCAGGGGAUCAAUCUACCACUCACUUGCGAUGUCCCAUUUAAAGCUAGAGUUUUUUUUUCUCUGUAUGGACCAAUCUACCACUCACUUGCGAUGUCCCAUUUAAAGCUAGAGUUUUUUUUGCUCUGUAUGGACUUAGUCCACCGAAAUUGGCACCAAGAGGAAUCGAACAUGAGACCUUAAGAAAAACAUACUUCAAGGAUUCAAGCCAACACUACUAGACCAACACCAAGUGAGUUAAGAAUUUAUUUGAAAAAAUAAAAGUAAAAUAAUAUACACUGUUCCAAAGGUUUUAUUUUAAGUAGUUUUAGUGGAUAAACUCACAAAUUUAAAUGUAGAAAAAAUGUGGAAUCCACGGUUUAAAUUCUGGUCACUUUAAUGAUGUCUCUGGUAGUUACUCCCUUCGGACACAAAUAUAAGAAGAAAAAAAAACUGUUUAGACAGUGUUUAAGAAAUGAGUUUAAUGGUUGUGCACCGUCGGUGUAAAUUUUGUUUACACAUACAUCCAAUGACGCGUUGCCACGUCAUUUAAUGAAUGUGACACAUCAUGUGUUUUUAAUUACCAUACAUGAUGUGUCGGUAUAUUAUUGAACGCAUGUGCAAAAUAACUUUACACCGACAGUGCAUAUAAAUUAAAUUGUUUUGAAAAAUGUAAAAGUGAAAUAAAUGCGUAAAUAAAAUAGAAUUAAAUAAGGAUAUAUUGUGAAUAGUUGAUUAAUUAGUUUAAAAGUAAUUAACUUUUGCUUAUAAUAGUGACCAAAAUUUGAAAUAUUUUUUUCUUAUACUAUUAUUUAUGUCCGGAGGAGCAUCAUUUAAGCUACACUUAUGAAACCACUGUUUCAAAGGUUGAAAGGUACCGUAUCUUCCUAGUUUGGAGUGUUAUGUGACGGAGGCAGAAUUAUUAUAGACCGUUGAAUAAAAUUUUACUUGUGAAAUAAUUCAUAAACAGUUCCAAAAAUAAAAAUUAAUUUUUUUCAUAAAUUAACCCAUAAAAAUGUCAUUUUUGACUUAAAUUAUUGAGUUUAAUUGUUGUGCAUUGUCAAUGUAAAGAUAUUUUACACAUACAUCUAAUGAUGUGUUGCCACAUCAUUUAAUGAAUAUCACAUCAUGUGUUUUUAAAUAUCAUACAUGAUGUGUCAGUAUAUUAUUGGACACAUGUGUAAAAUAACUUUACACCGACGGUGCAUAUAAAUUAAAUUCUAAAUUAAUUCCUACAAAUAUUAACAUAUUUGGGCUAGAGCCGGGGCAAUUGCUCAUUCUUGUUGGUCUUAAAAACCGCCCAUGGUUGUUGAGAAGAUGUUUUUUCUUCCCACCUCCCGUGAAUCAUUUAUACCCCGCAAUAUUCCAAUUUUUCCCUUACAGAAAAAUUCGGUUCGUAUAAACUGAAUUUUUACUAGUGCAAAUUCAGAGUAAAUUUCGGUUUUUAGAAAUCAAAAUUUGUUUUCAAAGCAAAAAAAAACUUCGGUUUCUACGAACCGAAGUUUUUUCAAGGACAAAAUUUGAAAUUCAAGGGAUAAAAAAUUCACGGGGGAUGGGAAAAGAAAACAUCGGUUGAGAAUACUCGAUUCUCUCCUGUGACAGAAUGAUGUAUAAUAACUUCGGUUUCUACGAACCGAAGUUUUUUCAAGGACAAAAUUGAAAAUUCAAUGGGAUAAAAAAUUCACGGGUGAUGGGAAAAGAAAAUAUCAGUUGAGAAUACUCGAUUCUCUUCUGUGACAGAAUGAUAUUGUAUAAUUUCAGUUAUCCAUUUCAUUUUGAUCUAUAUAUAAUUAAUACUAUUAAUUAAUUGAUGUACAAUCAAUUUAAAUCAUCGAUGAUAAACAUAACAUGAAAGAGAUGGUUGGAGUGAAUUCAGAAUAAAUAGUCACAAGUUGUGUUGAUGAAGAAUCUUGGAGAGGAAGAUGAAAAUGAAAUCAAAAUUAAUUUUGAAUUUUAAUGGUACAUAGCUAUCAACAUCACACUAUUUCAAGGACAUGCGUAUUUGUUGAGGUUUUGGCUUUUUUAAAAAUGAGUUGUGGAAAAUGGAUUUGUUAGUGAAAUUUUGGACUUAUCUUUAAAAUUGUCUCUCUUCUUUCUACUUUUCUCUAAUGAUGGGAAACACUUGCCACUUUUUUUUACAAUUAUUUAUCACUUUCUUUGAGUGAAAUGUCACCUUUUUUUAUAUAUAAUAAUAAUAUAUGAAAUUUAUAUCGUUAGUUAGUAAUGACCAAUAAUAUCUAUUGGUCGACUAUAUGCACUGAAUUCUAUCUUUCUAAUCGAAUUUUUUCAAACGUAAAAGUUAUUGAUCGAAAUUGUAAUCACUUAUUUAAAGAGUUUACAAACCAAUCGUUAAUGGGUUUAGUAGUGAUUGGCGCGAAACUUAGUUAGGAGGAUCACUGUUCGAUCCUUAUAACUCCGAUUGAGAGGAAGUUGAAACCAUUUGAUGUCAGAACUGACCUCCGAACAAAAUUAAACUAAUGGUGAGAGAAAAAAAAAAAGACUGCAUUUCUUACCACUCCUCACUUUUUAAUAUACAUUGUUGUAAUUAUUGUAAAGAUAGACUAAAAAUAUGGUACUUUGAGAAUUUUUUUGCGUGACAACUAGUAUAUGUUUUAUUGAUGGCGACCCAUUAUUUGAAUUACUAAUACUCGUUUGGAAGUUGGAUAGACUUAUGUAAUCUACCAAAAUUUAAAGGGUCUUGUUAACAUGUGCCCUUAGGGCACAUGUUAAGAUAUACCAAAAUAGAAAUUUAACAUUUAAUGAUGCAAGAAAUUUAAUGCUCAAAAAGUCAAAAUGCACAAAUUAGCAUUUAAUAAUUUCUAUUUUUGUUUCCUUAACAUGUGCCUUAAGGGCACAAGUUAACAUGUGCACAAAGGGCACAUGUUAAGCUUCUAAAUAUAGAAAAUUGCAUUUAAUGUUUGAAAAAAAUUUAAUGUUUAAGAAGUUAAAUGCACAAAUUUCAAUGUAUUAUUUCUACUUUUGCUUCCUUAACAUGUGCCUUUGGUGCACAUGUUAACAUUUUCCUUUAAAUAAAUAGGACCUUAAAUUAAACAAAGGUGCAUGAGACAUUACUCUUUGAAAAAUUGAGUAAUUAUCUAACGAUCAGUAAAAAUUAAUUAUAAAAAUUUACUUUUAUUCAAUUUACAAAUUUACUUAUAUGACUAGUUUUAAAAAUGAAAAGAAAAAUCUUAAAAAUACAAGUAUGGAUCUACUCUAGUGGAUAAACGCUCUGGUUAUUCAGCCUACCUCACUGAUAUUCGACACGUGGUCACUAAUAUUACACUCAUCAAAAAUACCAAUUUUAAUCUUUUUAAAACUACACUCAUUCACCCUCAUGCGUUUUUUGAAUUGGUAAAUUAAUUUUAUACCGAAAUUAAAUAAAAAUUAACCAAGCUUGGAGCCUCUUCAGAUUCUGAUCUCACGAUUCAUGCAUCUCCCCCAGAAGACUUCUUUGACAUUCUUCGAAGCGACGCGACUGGAACUUUCUACCUUAGAGAAUAGUUCCCUUUUCUUUUUUUUUGUUUUUUUGUUUUGUUUUGAUUAGCCUUGUAACCAAAAAAAAUACAAUUAAAGUAAAAUUAGCGGAGUAAUUUAACCGGAUACACACAAUUACUAUUUAAUGAAAGUAUAAUAUCCUAUUUUCUCUUAAAUAAAACUAAACAUUUACUGUGCACAAGAUUUGCUAUUACUUACCUCAAAAAAAAAAGAUUUGCUAUUACUUACCUUCGUCUUUGAAUAUUCUCUUAAAAAAAUUAUCUCUUUUUAUAAGAUCAUUUGUAAAUUUUUAACCAUGUUAAUCAUGUUUAUCAAUAUAAUAUACUCAUAUUAUUCUAAUAUACUCAUAUGAUCAAUAAUAUUCUCCUAUUAUUUUUGUCAAAAAAAAUCAAUAUACUCAUAUUUUUCUACACUUCAUAAUAAAUACUUCAAUGUAACUAAUACUCUCACUUAAAAGAUAAACUUAUUGCAAAAACAAUGCAAAUUGUCAACAAAUAUAGUAUUACAAUCACUUUUUUUAUUUUUGUUAUUUUUAUUCAAAGAGAAUGUAUGUUAUAGUAAAAAUCUAAAAAUAUAUUAUACUAAAUGUUUAUCAAACAAUUAUAUUUAGAAAGCAUAUGGCAUAUGGAAUGCAAUGGAGACAAGGUGGAAUAUUUGUACUAUGAAAGUAGGAAUGAAGAUUCACAUGCAGGCAGCAGAUGCAAUGCACCGUACAGUACCAAUAACUUUCGUUUCUCUGUUGACUGUUGAUAUAGAAAGUACCUAGGGCAUUCCAAAUUUCCAAAAUAUAAAAUUUGAUUUCAAAACUUGAGUGUUUUUGAUGAAAAAUAAGCUUGUCUGCAAAAUGUAUUUUAACUUCUGUGUAUAAUUUAUACCAUAAGAUUUAUUAUUCAAUUAACUUUUUACAUAAAUACACUCAUACAAAUAUGCAAUUCAAGUGUACUUUCGAAAUUAAAUAUGAUUGUGUAACUAAAAAAAAUCAAGUGUACUUUCUCCGAUCUCAUAUAUAAGUAAUCAUUUGUUUUUCAGAUUUAUUAAAUAAUCGAUGUAUCUAGUCCAUAUUAUAAACCAGAUGCAUCAGUUAUUCAAUAAACCUGAAAAACCAAUACUUCCUUAUAUAUGAGACCAAAAAAGUCAAACAAUGAAAAAGGACCAAAAAAGCCAAACAAUGAAAAUUACAAGCCAGUCAAUGAAAAAGCCAUAAUACCUUUAUUAGACACCAUUAUAAGGUGCACACCAAUCAUGAAGACAUUAAUACACACCAUAUUAUGUAACAGUUCAACAUCCUUCUCUAAACUAAAAAUCUCUAGUUCUCUUCAUUAUACAAACUUUAGUAGUCAUCCAUAUUUGUCAAAUCUAAAUAGAAUAAAGACUUCUUUGUCCUAAGUAAAGUAACUGAUGAUCAUGAGCAAUUAAUUAGUUCUGGUUUUGAUGGAUUUAGAUACUAAAAUUCAGCUGAUCCAUCUCUCAGAAAACUGUUAGCAGUAAUUUUGGGUUUGUAAUAUGCCAAAAUUACAUGACUAUGGUUUUUUGUAUCAACCAGCAGCUACAGCAUCAGCUCUAGGACUUGUAUCUAGUAGUUGAUGCAGCUUUGCACCAGAGUUUGGUUUGUUGUCACAAUAACUAUUCUCAUCCUCCAUGGCUCUAUCAUUAGAACCUGAAUUGUUAUUAACUCUUGAUAAUAAGUUUUCUGUACUUACAGGUGUAAUCCUCUGGCUGUCAAUGCUGCUUAAAAUAAUCUCUUUUGGUUGUCCUAGUUGAGCAAUUUUGAAUUUUUCCUGAGUCAGAAACAAUGAAGUACUCAGCAUCACAGAAUAACACAACCAAAUGCAUAACAAAGAGAGGAAAUGUUAUGUGAACAGUACCUUCAAUGCAGCAUUUUCCAUCCUCAGUUUUUCAGAACUCUCAGCAAGUCGAUUUAUUUCUGAUUUAAGUGACGCACUCUCAGCAUUCAAGGAUUCAACUUUUCGUGCCAGUUCUUCGGCCUCAGCCUGAAAUGAGCAUAUAUGAGCAAUAGUCUCAAGCUUAUUUUGAGAAUAAUCUUUACCAAGUGUAUGACAAGGGAAGAGCCUGAUUAAUUUAUGAUUAUGAGAGGCAAUUAAAGAAGCAAUGGAUUAUUUAUACUAUACCUGCUUUCUUAGUCUUGACCUCCUAGCAGAUUCACGAUUUGAUUGUUUCCUCCUCUCACGUUUCAGUUCACGCUCAUUCUACACAUCCAAACGUACCAACAGGAAAUAUUUUGUCAGUAAGAGGAUGAGGAUAUGCAUAACCAUUACAUUGUGUUUCGGAUGCGUCUCAAAUGCACUAUAUAUGAUGAUUUGAGCUGUUAUGAGGAAUUAUAUGCUGAUCAUACCUGCAUCCAAGCCUCUGGAGGCAACACAGCAGAAGGUUGUGGGGCACUUGUUGGACUUGUUUUAGAUUUAACACUGGAAGGAUUUUUCAGCUCCAGUGCAGUGGUCAUCGCUGAAGAAACUACCGGUCCAACUGCCAUCAUCUUAUUAGAAGUUGCAAUUUCUUUGGAAGCUUGACUACCUUGUGUAUGAGUUUUGCCUUCUCCAUCAUCUGCUUAAACAGUAAAGAAAAAUGUAACCAUCACCACUGAUUAUUUUGAUAACAUAUUUAGGAUAUAUAACAUUUAAUCAGCAUAAAUUCCAGUAUCAGACGCCAAUAUCUAUGAUGUAUCAAGUCGGAAAUAAGGGUAAAAGCCCCUCCUUAGAGUCUACUACUGUCUGAAUCUGAUUGCAAAGUUAAAAACUUGAGCAAUACCCCUUAUGAGCAACAAUGAUUGGAUAUCGUUCAAAUUAUCAAAAUGCUACUCAAUAUAAUCAUUGGCAUCAUGUGUGCAGUGAUGAUGAUAACACAAAUAUAAUUGUGAUCCAAGGACAACUCUAUUGUUCAUCAAGAUAUAACACUUGGUGAAGAACAGAGUCAUACCAGUGGUUGGUGUUCCCUCACGGCUUCUUUUCCUUCUUGUUUGAUUAGCCUGAGUAUAAAAUGGGCAAAUAUCAUAAUUUAAUGGUUCAAUUUUGUAAAAUCAUUUGAAAUUUGAAAUAAAAAUAUACUGCAGGUGAACAAUUGCAUAUAGUCAACAUAGUUCAGAAUAAGAAUUGCAUUGCAAGCAAGUCCUCACCCCUGAAGUGUUGCUGUCACUUCCAUCACUUGAACCGUCAGUAUCCACGCUGUUCAUAUCAUCACAAAAUUACUUGGUUAGCCACAACAAAACUAUUUCAAUAAUCAACUUAUGGACCAAUCUUAUAGACCGAGAGGAAGUAGAGAGCAAUUGCAUAAAGAGUAUUGGAUUCCUUCCACCGAGAGAAUGUAAGAAUGAUAAAUAGAAUGUAGGUGUGUUUUUGGCGAACUUCAUAUAUAAAGAGAACAGAUCAACGAACCUCUGUGACAGCUUGCUUUCAGCUCCAGGCUCUGCACUCUCAGCAUGGCCAUUGCCUAUUGACAUUGCAAGGCCAUCGAACCCUUUCAAUUUCUUCAUCAAACCCUGAUCGGUAUUUCCAGAUGAUUUGGGAGGUGUCUCUAUGCUUAAAGGAGUUCCAGUCUACAUUGUUGCACCAAUUCCAACCGUUCAUAAUUUGAUAGCAUUUAUAGACUAGAGUAAGUACUGAUCUCAAAGAAAAUUAAAACUUACAACAGGUGAAGAUGAAAUUCCUUGACUAUGUGGAUGUGUCACCUAUAUUUCACAAACAUGAUUUAUAAGAUGGUGCAGAAAUUUACGAAAAAUAAAGCAUUCACGGUAAGAGACAAAAAAAUCUCUGAUAUAGUGCAUUUAGGCUUAAAAUUUAUAGCGAGUUUGAAGAUGCGUCGAGAUUAUCAAAGCACGGAAAGGCUAGUGACAGAAGAGAUGCAACUAGAUAAAUUUUGUAUUUUCAAAUUUUGUCUGUAUCGAUCAAUUUCAGUAAAAUAUGAACCAAUUGUGGUUCACACAAAUAACAUAAGUUCCAGUAACAAAAAUUACAAACUAUAAAUUAAAAGUAGGCUUACAAUAGGAACUGCAGGGUGAGUAUAAACCCCUCCAUGUGGAUACAUUGCUGCAUAAGGAUGUCCAUAAGGUGGCAUCAUAGGCUGCAAGAAAUAAUAAGUUGAAAAGUUAGUCGUUGAUUCAUGUCAUCUAGGGUAUAUACCAAGACAUAAAACAAAGAUUGGUUAUAUUAUAUAACAUAAUAAUUGAUGUCUGGGUUAUUACCUGUGGUGGCCCCCACAUAUAUGGGUGAGGAGUGUGACCAGAAGGCACAGGUGAAUUGUAGUAUGGUGGCAUGGCAACUCUUGGCCCAUAAUAUGCCUGAAGAUAUAGCAGACAAUUUAGAUCACCAUAAUCAGUUUCUAAUAGGCAUUUAUGUUUGUAAAGUUCCUAAGCAAACCAUUUUCAAGUAGAUAAAAUAUCAUAGUCUCUUACCACAAAGUAAACAUUUUUUGUUAGACGACAAAACAAUUAAGGCCCAAAGCAAUAUGUUACCCAACUAGGAGUCAAAAUCAGUACUCGGUAGCAAUUCAAGGCCUAAUUUCAGUUUGAUACUUAUUAAUUAGAGGUAAACAUCGUUCGCAACAAGAAACUAGAAUGAAUAGUACUUCAAUCAUUAACAGAUCUUGAAGGACUUGAAGGAAAAAUUUAGUAACCUGCAUGGCUGCCCAAUCAGGAUAGACAUGAAUAUUUGCCUGGUUAUUGGUCUGAUCCUGUUCAUAAGGUAAGCACACAAAAACAUCAAAAUUCAAGUUUUUCUACAAAUGCAUUCACUCAACACCGCGAAAGAACAGUAGAGCUCACCGCUGUUAAAGGUGAAGAAGGCUUUUCAGUCUUGGUAGAUUUCUCUUCCUCACUGGUUCCCAUUGCAAGCACCUAACCUAAUGAAAAAAAAACACUUUGGUCAAAUAUUGUAGAAAGAUCCUUUGCCGAUUCUUUAAAAAUAAAAAUAAAAAAACCUCAACCGCAUGAUUCCAACAAACAGUAAACAUAUUCAAGUAUUCAACCACAAACAACAUAUUUUGCAAAGUAAAAUCCUGAUUAUAACUUCAAAAGUAUAUUAAGCUAACAUAUUAAGCUAACAUAGAAAUAGCAUCAUAAAAGUAUAUUGAUUGUAAUCUCCUUGAUAAAACAUGCAUGGAUAAUUUUUCCUGUUUUCUAUCUCAAGCAUAACUUCAAGAAGAUAAUCUAGCACCCCUCUAAAUUUAUAAUCUGAAUAUAACUUCAAAAAUUCACACUAGAGUGAGUAGUGUAAGUAAACUAAGUAUUAGAUUUACACGUCAGAGAAACCAACUGAUCUAAACUCAACUCAUGAGACGAAGACUAACACUUGAAAAGCUCAUAUGAUUUUGUUUUACUAUGUCACAAAUACCUUUCAAGAAAGAUUGGAAUAUUAUUGGUAAGCUAGAGAUAAUUCAAUUCAAGGAAUAUAGAAAAAUAGUGAAAUCAUAGAGUUAGUCAAAGACACACAACUAGUGGAGGGUCAAUUCAGUCUUUUCCCCAAACCACAGGACGGAUAGAAAGAGAGAGACAUUGACAACGAGGCAUACCAAAUCAAAUCUACCCCCAACAAGACUCUACAAAAUUUAUAUGACAAAAAUACCCUUCCAUGUCAAUUUUCCACUUUCACUAUUUCACAUGCGUCAAGAUAUAUUGAUAAGAAAAAGUUAUUAAACUCCUGAAUUAGCCCUGAUCCAGUUUCUAUUCAGCUAAAAAAACUAAUUUAAAGCAAAUCAAAAUCAACAACACAUGAAAAACACAAAAACAUAUCCAAAACCUUAAAUUGAUGCAAAUUUAGAUCCAGAAGAGCCCUUUUGUCUGUUUAGCUACAAAAUAUUGAAUUCAAAAUAAAUUAAUAAACUAAACAAGAUAAUUUGAAGUGUUCUUUCAGUAACACUCAAUCAUGAAACUUCAAAAAUUCAAACUAGAACACAUUGAAUUUUCCUCAGACCCCAAAAUUAUAAAACAUUCAAAAUUAAAUCUUUCAACUAAAUAAGUAACAGAAUUUUAUAAAAAAAAAACAUACCUAACAGAAUAAAAAACAAACAAGGAAUAAAAAAAAAACAGUCCUCUCAGGUUGUUUGUUGCACCAAGUAUUCUCAACAACAAAAAAAAGUUGAAUUUUUUGGAGAAGUAAUUAAAGUGGUGUAGUAGAAUUAUGCAUUUUCUCUCUCUAAGAAAAACGAGGGAAAGAAAAAAGCUUUGUAUCUUUCUCUCUCUAAAGAAUGCUUUGAAACAGAGAAAAGUGAAGAAGAAGAAGAAGAAGAAGAAGAAAGGAGCGCGAGGGGGAUAUCCACGUCAUUAUACACGUGUCGUAUGUAGGAGUAAUCGUAUACAUAUACGGAGUAUUCCGUAUAUACGGUGUAUAGUUUGAGCUGGCUAUAUUAUUCCAACGUCACCAGAGCCGUACACGUGUUACAAAAAGAAAUGAUCUACGCGUCUAAUGUUAGGGGGUCCAACCUAGCAACACGUCCAUGUGCCCUUUCAGAUUCAUAUUAAUUAUUUAAUUAAAUUAAUUAAUUAUUGAUUAUCUGGCAAGAUUGAAUUGGAUUUUUCUAUUCAAUUAUUUAAUUCUAAAUUUGAAAUCUAAAUUAAAUUGAAUUGAAUAAGUCUUUUGAAAUCCACGAAUAGCCACUUGUACAAAAUCUUCGGCCACGCCUUGCAAACACUGUUUCUGAUUUUUGCUUACUUUUUUACUUUUUGAUUUUUUUAUGUUGAAUAUAUUAUUCUAGAAAUUUUUGUUUUCUAUUAGUUUAGUGACUAGAAAUUUCAACUUAAAGAUAAAUAAGUAGAAUGUUUGAAGUUUGAACUUGAAUUCCUAUGUAAUAUAUGUAAUGUUCCUAUCAAUUAAGUUAAACUCACCAGAACUACUAGAAUUUAAUUGGACACUGAUAUUAUUUAGUUGUAUAAAUGUUAUUUUUAAGAGGGUUUAUUUUGCCCUUUAAAAAUAUUGCGACCUGUAAUUUAUUUUUCUUUUUCCUUUUAUUUAAGAGUUGACUGGUUAUUCAAUCAUCCAAUCGGCUAUGGAGUGUGAUUUCAGCAAGCAAAUAAACCGAUGAUAAUUACUCAAAACGUUGGUCGAUAGCUGCUCAUCUCUCGUGUUCUCUCUCUCCUGUGAAGUGAUUAAUCCCCAAAAUGGGCAUGUAAUCCCUAUGGAAAAGCAUGUAUUUCAAUUGGAGUAAAUUUUCACCACCUAAUGGUAGUUCCUGCACCCCCUCCUCUUUCACCUAUCUAUUAACUCCCAUGGGGAUUUCGUAACUGAGAUCAUCGUGCAAAGUUAUAAAACUACUGUAUACCUCAAAUUAUUAUUUUUAAAUAAUAAAUAUGAAUAAUUUUUUGGUCCAAAAUAAAAAGAUGUGUAUUGUUACUUUUCACUUUCAUAUUUUUAAGUGAAUCUAAAUUCAGAUCAAAAUAAAAUGGGUAAUGUUCACAUUCAUAGAAUUCACUUUUUUAAUGACGUUUCACCUUUUUUAUGACAUUUUUUUAAGUGUGCGCACUUGGCAAGAUAUUUCUCCUUUUUGGACUUUUGGCUCUAACCUAUGAUUAAUCCCAACAAUUUUUUUAUAUCCAUUUUUAAAAAGAUUGAUAUGUAUGCUAUGGAAAGUUGGAGGUGGCAAGGUUGUCGUUUUUAUGGUUAAUGGUCAGAAACUACCAUUUCAUUGAAUUGAAUACUUUACUAACUUUUUCUUUAACUUAUGAAACAUUGUAUGUUUGCUCCGUAAUGGUGACAUGCUGACUAAUCCAAAAGUACACAAUACUUAAUUCCAUAUGGUUUCAUGAAAGAAUAUCAAUUGUAUUGGGUUUGGAUUUUUCUUUCUCGUAGUUUAAUUAGUAGAUAUAUAUUAUGUCUAUUCAUAUUUGCAAAAGAUUUUCGUUUAACUUUUUCAACUUUUCAUUUAAAUGAAAAAAAAAAAUUGUGUAAAAAGGAUUUUAGAUAGCUAUCAAAUACACUACUUUGCAACAAACACUUUUAUUGAAAUGGAUUUCACUGUAUAAUUGCAAAAUUGGGCCAAGGAUUUCACUACUUUCCUUUUUCUUUUUCUUUUUCACAAAGUCUCAUAUUCAUUUUACACGAACUAAAUGAGAUUGAUCAAGACAAAUCACAACAGAUACGAACAGACAACACUUGUAAGAUUUGCUGCCGAAAUCAAUGAUUUUUAGUGUCAAUCAAUGGGUUAGAGGCCAUUGUUCCCUCUAUCGUUGACGGUGAUUCUACGGCUUCCAGCAACAUAUCAAUAGUUGUGGUUUGUGUCAAGGUCUAUAGAUCUUCUAGCCAAGGACUUAUGUAUGUUAUCUUCUCUCUAAAUAUCACACUUCAACAUAUCUACUAAUUUGAACAUCAAAGUACUUUCAAGUACCUUUCACUUCAACAACAACCAUUCAGACGUGACGUGUUCAUGCCAAUCACUCUUUUUAAUCAAGUAAGAUCAUAAUUCAUAUAAAAUUCAACAAAAGAUUGUAAUAAAAGUUGUAUUUUUAGCAUAUUUCAAAGUUUGAGUAUAUCAAGUUUAGGAGCUCAAUAAAACAAAAGGCAAAUCUAUUAUGACUAUAAAAUGCUUAGAGAAACUACCAACCAGCAAGUUCUUGGUAUCAACAAACAUAUUUUUGCAUCGAAUUCAGACUCUUUGAAAGAAUACGUUUUUUUUAAGGAGAACUAGUAAUGGACUCGUGCUAUCGUAUAGGUCGUAACGUUACGACAAUAUUUUUUAAGUUAUAGUUUGGUAAUCAAAAUUCGUUACAAUUAUAAAUACUUAAAUUAAAAGAAACAAUUACAUAGUUAGAACUUGUUUCAAUCACAUCUGAUAAUUAUUUUGAAAUUUUUAUCAGUGAUAAUUUGUUCCGUAUAUAAUAGUUGAAAUUUAUAUCAGUUAGAAUUUAUCCCGUAUAAAAUAGUUUUUUUAAAAUUUUUAUUAGUUAGAACUUGUCUCAUGAAUAAUAAUUAUUUUGAAAUUUUUCAAUAUUUAUAAUUGCAACCAGCACGUUUUUCAGACUCUUUUAAAAAGUAUAGGACGAUUCUCUUUGAUGCCAAUUUGGAUGGGUAAUUUAACUUUAAAAAAAUUCUUCAUAUCAACAAACAUAUUUUUGCAUAGAAUUGAGACUCUUCCAAAGGAUAUAUUUAAGUAGAAUUUAUUAGUCACCUAGUUAGAUUUAGUAAACUAAAUUUGUAAAUAAAUUGUAUGAAAUGGUUUAAGAAGCAUCGAGUCUGACAUGAUCCUGCUAAUAUAGAAAUAUAGCACGUUGACACCACUAUAUAUUUAUAAAAAAAAAUCUAAAUUGUGAAUCGUAAUAUAUACAUAUGCAUUAAAGUUGAGCAAAUUAUUUCUUUAAAAAAAGUUUUAAAACAAAAUACGAUAGUAUUUGUUUGACCUUUAUUUAUCCAUCUACUAUAAAAAAGCUAAAAAUAUUGCAAUCAAAUAUAAUUUUGUAAUCCCUCAUUGAUCAACAUUGUUGUUUGGACACAUUUAUAAUCUUUGGAGAUAUGUCUAAUAUGUUUCUAAGAAGAGUAGAAACAAAGAAAAAUAAUUUUUUUAGGACACUUGUCAGACACGUGUUGCAUGAGUGUCUUAUAGGUGUCGAACAUGAACCUCUGGAGUGUCGGAGUAAAGCAAAAAUAAUUAUUUUUGGACACCUAUUUGAACUUUUCAACACGUGUUGGAUGAGUAUCAUACGAGUGUCGAAUAGCGAUACGUAUUCAAAAGUGUACGUGCUUUACAACAUAGUUUAAGAAUCAUUGAAUUUCGGAAGGAAAAAAAAAAGAUAAGGGUAUUUAUGGAAAGAGUUUAAUUGUUGUGCACCGUCGGUGUAAUUUUUUUUUACACAUACAUCAAAUGACGCGUUGUCACAUCAUUUAAUGAAUGUGACACAUCACGUUUUUUAAUUACUAUACAUGAUGUGCCGGUAUAUUAUUGGACGCAUGUGCAAAAUAACUUUACAUCGACGGUGCAUAUAAAUUAAAUUCUUAUGGAAAAGCCCUUGGAUGGGUUGGACAACGGAAAAGCAAGGUUGGAGCACGUGGCAAAUGGAGUGUCACUAUCGUCAAAGUAGACACGUCAGUCAAUAACCAACGCCGGCCGUUGAUUUGAAACGCAUUUGACGGUUAUGAAAAUUUAAGUGACGUAAUUGGUUGUGUAUGUUGUUUUGGUGUGUACACAUAGGGGUGGACAGGACCCGCUGGACCGAACCAAACCGGUCUAACCGAACGGGUUUUUCUUCUACGGGUCGGGUUUAAAUGGUCGUCGGGUUCAAAAAAUGAAAAAAACAGGUUGAAGUGGGUUCAUAUGAUCGGGUUCGGUUUUUAAAAUUAGACCCAUCGGUAUCCGAACCGACCCGUAAUUAAUACUGCAUAUUGAUAUUUAAUGUAUAUAUAUGUAACGUAAUAAUCCAUAUCUUCUAUUUACGAUGCAGCUAUUUAUAUUUAUAAUAAUUCAUAAUUACAGCUGUUUUCCAUUCCACCUUAUUGUGUUAAUUUAUUUAACAUUGAAUACUAGUUGUAAUAUUUUCCUUUUAAGACUCCGUGAUUUAUUCCUUGGACCUUUAACACAAAACAAUUGAAUCUCUCCUUCUUUUAUGAUAGGUUGCUGGCUGCCAUGCUCUCUACCCUAAACAAUCAAUCUUAAUUUUGGACUUGUAUCUUCUCACCUCCUCUUUUCUCAUCUUCAUCUUCUUUUUUUCCUUCAAAAAUCUCAUAUGGUCUUAUUUCUCACUUUUAUAUAUUUAAAGAUUUUUUUUUGCAGAUCUAGAUCAGCAUAUCUAAUCUGUUAAUACCUGGAUCUACCCUUUGUUGCUUAAAAACUCAUUCAAUUUGUUGAUACUAAUUUUUUAUUUAUUAUUAUGGAUCUAAACUUUUUAAUUGGAUUUUCUCUGAAUUUGAAUUGUUACCCGUGUGAACCAUCCGUACACCCGCAUCCUUGCUUAUCUUGCUCAUUUUCUCUCCGCUGCUGCUUCACAUGCCUUAGAUAGUUAGAUCAAGCUUUAGAUCUGUUUUAAUUCUUCUUAUUCUUCUUCUUAAACAUGUUAAAGGGUGUUUCUAAGAUAAUAUUUCAUAUAAUUGUAUGUAGCUCCAUUUAAUGAUGUUUCCGGAAUUUUUUUCAAUUUUUUCUUUGUUGAAACUGUUUGAAUCCAUCCGCUUGACCCGAAAUCCGUUUAACCCGAACCCGAAUAACCCGAAACCCCAAAAUAGUUUGAUAUGGACGUGUAUUUCUCACCCGUGGAUUAGGCCGGGUGGAGCUUUUGGGCCUAUACCGACCCAACCCGGCCCGUUGUCCACCCCUAUGUACACACACCGACAAUGAUAUUACGUGUCCAUUAGCAACACACGCAAGCCAACGUGGGACCAGUGUACGUGGACCUCUCUCUCAACCAUAUCAUCAACUUACUUUACUCCCACUUUCUUAUUUUAAAUUAUUUUUUCACACCAUUUUUUUAUUUUUUUAUUUUUUUGCAAUAACAUCAUUAUUUGUUGUACACACACUUUCGUUUCAAAAAAGUUGAAAAAAUAUGAUUAAUGUUAGUUACAAUAACAAUGAAAUAAAUUAGAGAUGAUACUUGGAUUUUUUUUUAUAAAUAUUUUAGAUUCAUCAUAAAGUAAAUAAGUGGGAUAAUCGAAAUUUGAACUCCAACUACCUACAUAUAUAAUGCAUUGUCAUUGCCAAUUGAAUUAAGUUCAAGAAAUUAUACUUAAAAUCAUAUUCCAACAAAUUUGUUGGAAUAGAUAGGUAAAAAUUCGCAUUAUUGUUUUACAAUAGUACUGAUAUGAGUAUUAGUAACAAAGAUGAUGUAUAUUAUGAGAAUGACAUAGUUAUAUAAGAAUAUGAUAAUUAAUCUUAACAUACGUGGAUUAAGUGAGUUCCGGCCUAUCUUUUUUUAAUUUUUUUUUUACCCAUUUUAUCGCUUCUUCCUCCUCUCUCAUUUUCUCAUUGUAUCUAGGGUUGGAAACAGGCCAAACUUUGAUAGGCCUGAGCCUGACCUACGAUUUUUCUUCAGGCCUGAGUCUGACUUACGGUCUAUCAAAUGUUAUUUUUUUUGUCUAGCCCGAGCCUUUUUAAUGUCUGGCCUUGUAGCCUAUUUAAAAGUUUGUGUUACAUAAAGGCCUCUAUAUAAUCUUUCUAAAUAGGCUAAACGGACCUUAAAAGCCUAUUUCACAUUUAAAUUUUUAUGAUUUCUACAACAUUAAGAAAAACUAGUAAAAUAGCCAAUAAAGUAACAAAUAUGAGAUAUGGAGGUAGGGUUUCUAAUUUCUAUUUGUUUGUUGCGUGAAAUAUUACGUCUAAAUAUUAUUUUUUUGUAAAAAAAUAAAUAUAAAUAAUAAUAUUAUAUAAAUAAUUAUUAUUGUUAAAUAUAAAUAGGUCGGCCUAUCAGGCUUUGUAGGUUUUUUAGAAGUCUGAGCCUGACAUAUUUAUGUAAACAGACUCUUUUCAAAGCAUAAGCCUGAUAUUUUUAAUAAACAGGUCAGGCUGAAGACGCUUGUAGGCCGCCUUACCUAUUCUCAACCCUAAUUGCAUCUCACGUUCUUCCUCUUUUUGCCGUGAAUUUCACUUCCAAAUUCAAACUUUCUUGUCGUGAGAUUCUCUUUUCGACAUUGUUGUUCACCGUUGAGAGUCCAUUUGCUGUCGUUGGUUGCCGUUUUUCGCCGUGUGGAUUUCGCCGUGUCGGUUGUUUUUACGGUGUUGUUGUUCUCCUGUUGCUUUCGUCGACGUCGUUGUUCGCCAUUUAGCAUUCACAGUCAACGUCGUUGUUUGCCGUGUCGAUCGAUUUUAUCGUGUUGUUGUUGUUCGAUGUUGUCCUCCUGUUGCUUAUCGAUUCAUCGUUAUUGUUCGUUGUUGCUGUUAAAGUAUUCACAGUAGAAAAAUCGACAAGCACAACUCUUUAAGGGUUUUAUUCUUCAAUUGAAAUGAUUCAUGUCACCGUCAGAUUAUAAAAUUUAAUCUUUGAGCACUUUAUUUUGUUUGGAAUCUGUUUAUAAUAAUAGCGACAGUAGAAAUUGGCAACACAAAUUAAAGUGACCGGAAGAGAUGAAAGAAUUUAUGUUGCAGCAAACCCCUUCACUAAAUAAGAGACAUGUUAUGUAAUUCGAUUUUUAUUUCUUUAAUUUGAAGUUCCAAAUCUGCAAAUGGUCAUGGUGGUGGGUUGGAGAAGAUGAAGUGUAUUGGUUCAUGAGAUAGGGAAGAGAGAAAUAGUGAAGAGAGAAAUAAGAGAGAAGAGAGAUGGAAGAGAAAUUGGAUAGAAAUUUUAUAUGGUUUGGAUGAAUAGAAAAGUGAGAAGAAAUAAAUUAAUAAAAAUGAGAAAAUAACAAAUUUACCCUUUUCUACAAGAAAAUAAAUUAGUUGAAUGAGUGUAUUGUUGUAAAAUUGUUUAUUUCACUUCUUGUCACACAAAUCUCUCCUAAUAUGGAGAGAUUUAUUUUUGGCAGUUAUUAAUCAUUAUAUUUCUCUCUUUCCUUAUUUCUCUCAUCAUCCAAACCAUAGAAAUAACUAAUUUCUUUUCUAUCUCUCUCUUUCUUAUUUCUCUCUUUAGUAAAUCUACCUAAACAAACACAGUGUUAAUCCAAACCGUCUAUUUUUAAUCUAAUGAUUAAAAUUCAUUUUCAUAUUCUCAUAUAACAAUAUCAUUCUCAUAGUAUACAUAAUCUAGUAACAAAUACGUGUUUGGUGCUCAAAGGGUACGAAUACGGGGCUAUAACUUGAGCCCACUACUUCUUGAAUAUUUUUUUUUCUACCCCUACAUUUAUCUCUCUACCCCAACAACUAAAAUUGAAUGGACGAAUAUGCCCUCAUAUAUAAGUUAAAAAUGUAAAAAAAAAUUCAUUUGCUUUACAAAUCAAAUAAAGUGUGCCGGUGUGAGUAAGGAGACAAAGAGAGAGUAAGUCUAAAUCUAACGUAUCGGUACACUUUUUUCAAGUGUGCUGGUUUGAAAAUUCUACCGGUACAGUCGAAAAAAAGUGUGCCGGUAUGAAUAUUCAUACCAACACACUUGUAUAUGAGUGUUCCGGUAGCACAACUGUACCACUACAAUUUUCAAACCAGCAUACUUGAAAAAAGUGUACCGGUACUGCCACUAGGAUCUUGCGAUCAAUUAUAUUUCGGAUUUGGUAGUACAAGUUGACUCUUUCUUUAUUAGCAGUUCCUCACUACAUGAAUCUCUUCAAAACUUGGUAUUCCCUAUUCAUGAAUUUUGUUGUUUGGGGAUUUAAUCCUUUUGGAAAAUAUCAAGAGUAUAGAGAACAAACUGACAACCGAAAAGAAUUUACCAAUUCAGAAUCCUUUGGGAAAAGAUAAGAGCGAAGAAUUUAAGGCCAAUUUCAAUUUGCCAAAAUACAAUUUAACAAAGAUGAGUGUGGUGGUGUCGUAAUUCUCUAUUUCUACCCAAUCUCUAAAAUACAAGAACAUUAAAUUUGUGUAACACAAAACACUAGAUGGUUGAAGACGUCAUACACUUUUUAAAAGUACCGGCACACUUUAGUAUAAAUAGUAUAAGUAAGUAUACCGGUAUCAAUUAAAGUGUUCAGUAUUAAAGUACCAGCACACUUAUAUUAAAGUGUACCGGUAAAAUUAUAGUACAUCACUCAAAUUAACAUACCGGAACAAUGUCUAAGGGGUAGAAGCAGUUUACCGAAAAAAUUAUAAAAGGACAAAUUAAAAAUGGUAAAAUAUAUUUAGAGUAACACAAGGGUAAAAUGGAAAUAUUUUAAAAUAUGUUGGGGUAGAGAGAUAAAUGUAGGGGUAGAAAAAAAAAUUUCCCUACUUCUUUAUUUGUUAGUGGGCUUAACCCGUUUUAUAACUUUAUGUUAAGUUCAAAUUAAGGCAGAUAAGUUUACUUCAUACUCCCCAUUCAUAUUCCCACCUCCUAAAUCAUAUGAACUACUUCUAUCCUUAAAUAAAUAAUUUUUUCCCAAAAAUCACACAUCCCUAACAUAUUAAAUUACUGGAAGUUUAAAAAAAUAACCUUUGUCAAAACAAAAAAAAAUGCACCAAAGUAAUUUGAAAAAAAAAAUUGAGUUCUAGAUUUUAUCUAUCACUGUAAGUCAAUUUUUAAAAAAGAAAUCACAAUUCAAUACGAAGUUGUAGAUCACUUCAAAAAUGAAAGUUCUAAUAUAAAUAUUCAUACCGGAAAUUUCAUUUUUAGAAAGUUCAGUUUUUUUUUUAAAAAAUCUUCCGAUAAUUUUAUAUGCCGGGAGUAUAUUUAUCUAUCCGGAUGCGAGAAAAAUAUUAAUUGUGAAAAAAAAAAUAUCUAUCCAGGUGAGAUAAGAAAAACAUUAUUUUCUCCACCCGGAUGAGUAAAUUUUAGGAGGUGUCAGACACAGACACGACACCGAUAUUUAUAAUUACAUUAAAUUAUAUCAUAUUUUCAAACAAUUAUCAUCAUCGACGUAUUAGUGUCCGUGUUGUAUCUGGUGUGUGUAAGAAAGUUGUAGAGAGAAGUAAAAGUAGGUCUCAACUUGCAUUUUGUUGAGUAGUCCAAACUUGCACAUAAAAACGUUUGAUUUGAAUUUUUGUUGAUUUAAUUUCCAAUAGCUAGCAAGCAUGUGAAAGACUGAAUAUGGAUCCAAACAUAAGAUGCUUAAAGUUGGCCCCUACCACCCAAUUCCCAUGUGUGGGUAACAUUUUGAAUACAAAUUCAUCAUAAAAGAAAUUUGAAAUAUUCAUUGCUAAUUAAGAUUCCAACUAAAGUUAAGUAAAAAUCACAAAGUAAACAGAAGUUAAUUAGUUAAAAUCUUUGAUGUUUUUAUGUCUUCCUAAUUAAACUGAGUCUCCCUUAUGAUCUAAGAACAUGAUGAUAUAGGUGUUGAAACUUUAUAUAUAGUGCCACUGCAAUACCGACACACACACAACCGUGUGAACCUUAUCUCAAACAAAACUUAUUUGUCUAAAACACUACGCAAUAUCUAUACUUACAAUACCUCCAUCACCGUCCAAAAUGGUCACUUUUGUCAUGUGUUUGAUCCUUAACAAAUAUUGCAAAAUGAAUGUAAACAUGAAGUUUCCAUACUAGUAUAAUACUGCUUCAUUUUUGAAGUGAUUUUAAGGUUCAAAAAAUGAGUUCAAAGACAUUUAUGAAUAUGUUGUUGUUCAUUUUCACGUUUGUGUUGCCUUGUUUGGUUGGUUUGAGUAAUGGUGAGUGUGAUUUCGAGGCUAUUUUCAACUUUGGGGAUUCANNNNNNNNNNNNNNNNNNNNNNNNNNNNNNNNNNNGCUUCAGAUGGCAGAUUAGUUAUUGAUUUCAUUGGUAAUUCAACAAUCUACAUUUAAUCUUUUACAUUACCCUAAUGCUUUUCUUUUAGCUUCAGUGAAUACUAUGUUAAUUUUUUUUUUUACUUUUCUUAUGAUAUCACUCUUUAUGAUUGUGGAUAUAAAGUCAUGAUUCAUGAAGGUUCUAGCUUCUGUUUUUUUUUUUUAUUCUUUUCUCUUUCUAAUCUACAACAACAGAACCAUAAGGUUCCUUAAUUAUUGUACGAUGUACAUUUUGAUUGUAGUUAACAAUAUUUUUUCUAAUAGACAAAUUAGUAUAUUAGAGAACCACUUAAAAUGUGUUGAGUCAUGAGAGAGUUCGAGAAUCAUCACAUUGAGUCUUGAAUAACACAUAAGUGAGUUUGACACUGCAUCUUAACCCAAAACCUUAAGACAAUUAGGUUUAUGGGUCCUUUCACUUAUAAAGUGUUCAAAAUCUACUUUUCCAUCCAAUGCGAGACUAAACUCGCACUUGAAAUAUAAACAAAAUGCAGUCAGGGGCGGAGCUAUUAAGGGGCUGGGCAGGGCCAUGGCCCGCCCCAAGUUUAAAUUUUUUCAUUUUUUAUAGGUAUAUAUACAUGUUUUUAGUUUAAGAGUAUAGUAUAUAUAUUUAUCGUCGCAACAAAUAGAGACAUGAAGUGAAGUAGCGCAGUGGUAAACACCCAUGUUUGCAGCAUGAGUGACCUGUGGUCAAUCCCCAGCCAUGACAAUUUUCUUUCUAAUACUAUUUUUAACAAAAAAACACUACAAUAUUGCAAAAUGUGAUAUUUGAACUCUCAUUUUUUUUUUUUAUUUUAUAAUUGAACCCUCAUUUUGCAAGUAAAAUUAAAAUGAAUAAACUAUUAUGCCAUUAAAUGAUGAAUAAUGCAUUACGGUGGAAAAUUAUAUAUUUAAAUUGCAAAUAUGAGCUUCUAUCAUUUUUUUUACAAACACGGCCCCCUCCAAAGAAAAAACCUAGCUCCGCCACUGAAUGCAGUGCCUUAAGUGUCCCCUAAUAUUUAUUUGCAAAUCAUACAAUCUUGCAGAUUGUGGAAAUUUUUCCUAGUAUAAAAUCAUUUGCAUCUAUUUAAUAUUUUCUUCUUAUUAUAAAACACUCAAGAUUUUGCCUGUAUUAUGUUUGUACCUUUCUGAAUCUUUAGGAUAGUUUUCCUUACAAGACAAGAAACCUAGCUGGAAAUAUUUGUAUAGUUAUAGAUAGUCAAUAAUAUAAACAUUCAUAAAUAUGCAUGACAUAUAUUUUGUUGUUUCUGCUAUACUGACUCAGAAGCCAAUGGCAUUUUCCUCCUCACCAUUAAUUUCAACUUUUAUUUUUGUGGUCCAAAAGAAAAGAAAUAUUAAUUCCAUAAACUAUUAGAAUUGGUUGUAUAUCUUAGUCUGUACUUUCAUUCAUUUUGUAGUUGUGUAUUUUGAAGUUUGAACAACUAAAUUUAGAUAACUUUUCCAACAAGUUUUCAAGCGGUUAGCACAAUUCAAAUAGGUGAUUAAUUAGUUCAGUAGACGGUUAACAUAAUUUCAUCAACCAUAGAUUUGAACUUAAUUUUAUUUAUUUGAUUUGGCAGCUCAAGCUAUUGGAAUUCCAUUUUUGAGUCCAUAUCUGCAAUCAAUAGGAUCUGAUUAUCGACAUGGGGCCAACUAUGCUACAUUGGCAUCCACUGUGCUUCUUCCUAAUACCUCUUUGUUUGUCUCUGGGAUCAGCCCUUUCUCUCUUGCUAUUCAGCUCAACCAAAUGAAACAAUUUGCAAAACAAGUCAAAGAAGCCGAUCAACAAGGUACAAAAUGCACGAACUUCCUACUCAAUCUAUAAAUUGGACAAAACUUGGUACCGCGCUAUAGACAUUGUUCCUACCAAAAAAGUAGUAUAACUGUCACCGACAUUAUUCCUACUCGAUCUAACCCUUCGUUAAUAUAUUAUUAAUGUAUUGAUUUCCUUUAAUUGUUGGUCAGAUACCAAACUUCCUUCACCAGAUAUAUUUGGAAAAUCUCUGUAUACAUUCUAUAUCGGCCAAAAUGAUUUCACUUCCAAGUUAGCAGACAUUGGCACAGGUGGAGUACAAGAGUUUCUCCCUCAAGUUGUUUCACAAAUCGCUUCUACCAUUAAAGUAAGACUAACUUAUGUCUUUAGUUAGCCACGUUGUGCGGUGACAAAAAAUGAUUUUGCAAGUUGUAAGAAGAAAUUGUUAUUAACUUGGAACUUUUCUUAUUGGAAUUUAUAGGAGCUGUAUAAUCUUGGUGGAAGAACAUUUUUGGUGCUUAAUCUUGCACCAGUAGGGUGUUACCCUUCAUUCUUAGUAGAGCUUCCUCAUAAUAGUUCAGACCUUGAUGAAUUUGGAUGCAUGGUUUCUUACAACAAUGCUGUAGGUGAUUAUAACAACAUGUUGAAAGAGUCAUUGAAACAAACCAGAGAAAGUCUCUCAGAUGCUUCUGUCGUAUAUGUCGAUACCUCUAGUUUUCUGUUGGAGCUUUUUCAGCAUCCUACUUCUCAUGGUACAAACACAUCUCUUUCCUAUAGCAUCCUACAUCUCAUGACACAUAUACCUCUAUUUGGUCCGUCAAGAGAAUUGGCUAGUUCAACCAGACUAUAUGAAAAUCGGGAUCAAACCAACCGGUGAACUAGCUAGUUCUCUUGACGGACCAUUUUGUCCGGUUUUUAAAACAUUGUUAUAAAGCACAUUAUCAUAAUUUGUCCGGUUUUUAAAACAUUGCCAUUUGGAACAGGUCUUGAAUAUGGUACAAAGGCAUGUUGUGGAUAUGGAGGGGGUGAGUACAACUUUGAUCCUAGAGUAUACUGUGGAAAUACAAAGGAGAUAGAUGGAAAAAGAGUGACAGCAACAGCAUGUGAUGAGCCUUACAAGUAUGUGAGUUGGGAUGGGAUACAUGCAACAGAAGCUGCAAACAAGCUUAUAACUGAUGCUAUUCUUAAUGGAACUUAUUCUGAUCCUCCUUUUCCAUUUCAACAACAUUGUGAUAUUCAACCUAUAGGUUGAUCCAUUUCCUUCAAGAAUUCAUGGCUGUUUCUUAUCAUAUCUUAGUUAAUUAAUUAAUAAAAAUUUAUGGAUGUGAAACAAGGUUGGAGAUGUUACAAAAAUUUAAUCAGAAUAAGAAAUUUCUAACCGUACAAAAUUUCAAGUGCAGAAUGAAAAAAUUGGCCAGAAAAAGUAGCAAAAUAAAAUGAAUGUUGAGUGUGGGAUUUGAACCCACGCCCUUUCGGACCAGAACCUUAAUCUGGCGCCUUAGACCAACUCGGCCAACUCAACUUUGCUGUUUCUAAUUCUAACUACAACGUACUUAUUCAUUACGUAUUUGUAAAGAUCAAAUGAUUAGUUAAAUUAGCCUAGCCAAAUUGGCACAAGAGAGAAUCAAACCCAAGAUCUUAAGGAGGAGCACACUCUCAGGUCUCAAAUCAAUACCACCAAAACAACCUAAGUGGGUUUAAAUCGAGAUUGCAAGUAAAACUAAGACUUCAAGUAAAACAAAAAAGAGCAAAACAAAGACCUUCUAGAUAAGACCAUCAGCCUAGGUAAUAGGGGUGACAAUAGUUACGUCGGUUUGCAUGGAUAUACGUUCUAAUUUACUUAGGUUCAGGUCAGAUCAGUCAAUCUAUUUUUCUAUAAUAUUUUUUCAAAAGUCUAUUUAAUUAAAAAGUCAGACUACAAGUUACAAGGAAUUUUUAAAUUAAUAUCAUUAUUUUAUAUUUAAUUUUGGAUUAAAUUAUAAAUUUAUUAACUUUUUCGGUAAAUUAAGACUAUUAAUCUAUAUUAAUUUUUCACAUAUAUAAAUACAUUAUUAUAAAUUAGAAUUGAAAUGUGAUUUUUAUAUAUAGUUAAAUUUUCUAAAAUGUCAUGUUAAAUAUCAAAUGAGAGUUUAACAUCAUUGGUCUAUUAGUUCAUUAAUAUAUUUAAAUAUGCUCAUAUGGAAUAAGUUCUUAAAUAAGUUAAAAGUUCAUAUCAAUUUUUCAAAAAGGAGAUCAGGCUUAUAGAAUAAGUCUAUAACAUGCUACAAAUCGAGCUUAAACUUUCAAUAUUUUAACAAGCCAAAUUUAAGUUUCGCAAAAUCUAGGUCUAGUCUAUUCUCAAUCCUACUAGAAAUAAACAAACUCAAAUUAAAUAAAUUUAAGCAUUAUCAUUUAUCACGAGUUGGUGCUUCUAACUACACACACAUAUUAUUAGAAAUGAAUCCAUUUUGAUCUUAAAAGAAUCUUCUUCUUUUUUACAGUAUACUUAAUACUAUCGAAAUUAUAGAAAUGGUGACCGAGAUAAUAUAGCAUAUGGUGUCUUUCCAUCUUUAACAUAUGGGGUUUAUUCUGUCAAAAAAUGAAAUAUGGUGCUUAUAUUGUGUAAUAUUUUAUUUUGACAAAAAAAAAAUUAUACAGUGAAUGUUUUUUUUUUUUGACGAAUUAUACAGUGUAAUGUUAGUAAAUACUCAUAGUUUAAUAUAAAAAGUAAUGGUAAUGAAAAGUAAAUUAAAAAUAUAAAAAAACAAAUGAUUAAACUUGGGUUUGUAUUUCUCUCAAAAUGGUUUCGUGGUGUAGUUAGUUAUCACGUCAGUCUAACACACUGAAGGUCUCCGGUUCGAGUCCGGGCGAAGCCAAAUUUUUCAUUUUAAUUUUUCCGUGUCAAAAACAACAUGGACCUCACAGAAAAGGUGAUUUAUAUGAAAUAUGACUCUUAACCUCCUUAUAUUUUAUAGAUGGUGGAAACAAAUUUUUACAUGCUAGAUAGAACACCAUUGUAUAUCAAUCAAACACAUUUGAUUAAGGAUAUUCUUUUCUAGGAAAUAUGUGUCAACACUCAACACUACAUAAGUAAAAAUAUGAAUGGUGUCCAUUCAGAAUUCAGAAUCAUACACAUAUAUAAGAUUUGCUGCAUUAUUUCAACAAUGGAAUGGAUUAAUACAAGGUUGAUACUGAUAGAGAUGGAGGAAUUCUAUUCUAUAUCAAGGGAUACAAAUGCCUCUCAUAUAACAAGACAUAGAGCAAAACAAACAAA
This 55688-nucleotide long non-coding RNA is filed under the name Trifolium pratense (red clover). RNAcentral describes it as "long non-coding RNA (TPRA_LNC002770)". The stretch from base 55217 to 55290 matches the Rfam family "tRNA". The record is from RNAcentral. Lineage: Eukaryota; Viridiplantae; Streptophyta; Magnoliopsida; Fabales; Fabaceae.